Molecule: long non-coding RNA, 52448 nt
Filed under: Musa acuminata (dwarf banana)
Lineage: Eukaryota; Viridiplantae; Streptophyta; Magnoliopsida; Zingiberales; Musaceae
Description: long non-coding RNA (MACU_LNC002229)
Source: RNAcentral
UCGUUCCAGUCGAAGGAGGUGAGCGGGGCGCAGUAGCCACUGGACUUGCUGUUGUCAAGGACCGAGCGGAUCUUGGCGCCGUCGGGGCCCAGGAGCCAGAGGCGGAGGCAAUCGGAGGCGGAGGCGAGGAGCGGGCUGUUGGGAUGCGGGUGGAACAUGAGUUUGGUGGACGGGUAGGGGUGGUCGAAGGAGACCGCGGGUUCGGCGCGGAAGGAGAGUGCGUCCUCGUCGAAGGAGACGACAUCGACGCGGUUGCCGUACUCCUCGAUGAAGGAUCCUAGGGCGAGGCGGGGGGAGGCGGCGGCGGCGGCGGAGGAGGGGGAGAAGGCCAUGGCGUAGACGGGGUGGGGGGAGUCGAAGGUGAAGGCGUUAGAGUUGAGAGGUGAUUCCUGGGUGGAACUCUCCAUUUCCCCUGCGCUCUCCUCCCUCUCCUGUCUCUCCUCUCCUCUCCCCAUCUCUUCUUAUGUGCUGUUCGGAAGCGGUGGAACAGAUUCCUCCUCCUCUCUCUCUCUCUCGCGCUCGCCUAACGGUCAAAGCGGUGACCGGUCUCGGUCAACUCCGCUGUGCGCAGGAGAGUGGACCUUCGAUCGGCUUGUGAUCGCUGUCUCACUCCAUUCAGUGCUCUGCUGACGGAAUUUUACGAAUCCAUUUAAAUCGAUUUUUUUUAUUUUAAAUUAGAUUUAUAACACACUUCGAUAAUAAAGUUAGGCAUAUAAAUUAAAUUAAUCAGGUUCGUCUUUUCUAACUGUUAUUAUCGACUUUACAUUAUAUACAACAUAAUUAUGAGAACGCAUUAUUCGAUCCGAUCCAAUGUUAAUGUUGAGGAUUCUAUCAGAUGGGUUGCUCCGAGAUUCGUGCGCAUGAUACUUAGAUGGAGGAAGGCAGGUGUACCUAGUCAGAGCCACGUGGGCUUUACAAUUCCACGGAUGUGCAAGAAGAAGUAAACAAACAAGGAAGUGAACUGUCCAAGGAAAAUGAUUCUGUUGACUUUGACAAGAGCAUGCAUUCCUACAGGACUGAUGAGCAAUCACUAAAUAUGGUAGGGUAGGGCUUUCAAUCGAAAGGCUGAUUCCUCCAUACCCCUGAAUUCUAUGGUCACUGAAUAUAUAUAUAUAUUUAUAUAUAUAUAUAUAUAUAUAUUUAUACAUAUAUAUAUAUAUGUAUAAAUAUAUAUAUAUAUAUACAUAUAUAUAUAUAUAUAUGUAUGUAUAAAUAUAUGUAUAUAUAUAUGUAUAUAUAUGAAUCUGAGUAAUUAUAGAUUAGUAGGUGUAUACUGGAAUUUGAGCUAUUAUUUAGAUCUUAUGAGAGCAAGAACACUGCUUUGUUGUUUCAAACAAGUACUAAUUUUCAAUUAAAUGAAAAGUAUAACUUUUACUAACUCUUCACCAUCAAAGAAAAUAUUUUAAAUCAAGUCCACAUGUGACUUUUUCUUUUCUGUCCAUUUAACUGGCAUUCGAUUUUAUUUCCCACACACGAUAAAAAAAAAAGAAAAAAAAAAGACAGAUUUAAGAAAUACAUCUUAUAAGAAAUUGAAAUUAUGUUACAAAAGCUGCAAAACUAGGUGUACACUGAUGAACCUAGCUAUGUUACAGAAGCUGGAAAACUCAGUAAUUCAAGAUACCUACUACAUGUUUAAGACUAAAAUUUGGGUCGCAAGAACUGAUUCUAUUAGACAAACAAAAGUACCCAUCUGAACAAAGGCAUUAGGAGCUUAGGCACCAAAACAAUCCAAGUAAUGCUAGCAAAAGCAUUGCUGACAAAAACAAAAUGACUGUAAGUGGAGAGUGUGAAGCAGCUCCGGUUGACAUUGGAUCCGAAGAUUGGCCUGUGGUUUUGUCAGCGUUCUUAUCAGUCUGUCUUGCUCUCGAUCUCAACUUGGGUUUGGAAUCAUAGAUCUCAGGAGAAGAGGACUUUAUCUCGGAGGAGUUUGCAUCAUCUGCAUGACAAUCAACAGGUGAUCAAUUUGUGCCACGAAUUGGACAGCCCAGGUACCAUGUUUACCACUGCCUUGACCAACCCAAAAUGGGUUCUAGCCUAAAACAUAGACCCUUGAACUAAUUAAUUUUUGAGAACGUCAUUAGGGUCUUCUUUUGGGUUAAAUCAAAGCUUAGAGAGGUGCACAUUUCCUGAAAUAAUAUUAGGAAAAAAAUUUCAUGUGCAUCACUUGCAAAGCAGGCAAUUUCAGAAUUACCUCUUGAAAUGUUGAGGUGAAUCCUAUGCUCCUCAAAAAACCCAUUAUCAUGGAAUAUAUGUUUUCAGUUCUGUGGGCCAAUAAAGGAGCCAUAACAAGAGUUUCAAAAUUUGCAGGCACAUAAAUGUAACUACCCAUGAAAUGUUAAUCAACCUAAUUGACAACCUUGGGGUCUGAGCAGGCGAGAUUAAUUUUAUAUUUCACAACAAUCUUGACUGGAGAAUUAGUCUCCAUGGAACUUACACCCAUCCCAUUAAUAAAACUUAGGAUAGCGCACACUGAAAAAGUCAGGUUAAAGUAAAAUAUAGUCAUAUCCAUCUCAGAUCAAUUUAGUUAAGCUAGUAAUGGUCAAAAAGUUUUAGCAAUCAAAAAAUUUCUAGUUGCAACAUGGUUUGCUGUUUAUUACCAUGAGUGUCCUCGGCGGUAAGACCAGAAACUAAUUUUUCUUCAUCAAAUUGGUGCUCCAAAACUUCACUAGCCUGUAAAAAUUUUUCCAUGGUACACAUUUAGUAUUAAGAAGUUUAUUAGGUCAAUAUAACAAACAGAAACUGUUAACAAUGUUGUCCUGAUAUAUUCUAUUAUCUUAAUAUUAGGUAAAUUUAUCAUUUCUGAGAAUAACCAACUCAAACAUCAUACCUCAGUGACACCUGAUUUGUCUGAAUCAUCAUUAUUACUGCUCAAGGCAUGAACAGUUCUGGGGGCAGAUCCAUUGUGAAUGAACUUCUGCAAACGUAACCGUCUCAUUGCCGAGCCUUGCUGUUUAAUCAAGUAAUCUGAGUCUGUCAAAUUUUUGCGAACUCUGAUCUGGAUUUCAGCCCUGUCAGAGUUGUCCGUAUUGGUUGAUUCUUGAUGCAAAGAACCUGCAGAAGAGUCCAUCGAGGAGAUAUUUCGGCUAAACUUCUGAUUAGGAAACACAGAGAUCUGCCAUGUAUCUUGUUCCGUAGGAACAUUAUAACUAUUCUCCUGUGAUAAGUGGCUUGAACCAACUGGCAGCCUGCAGAUUUCUUCAUAAAAACCUAUGCCAUCCUGAGGUAAUCAACACAGAAGAAAAAUUAGAAUUUUACAAGUUCAUUAACUGUAAUUGCUUUACCAUAUGUUUUCACUCAAAUCAACACAGUUUGCGAACUUGUGGAAGUAAAAAACAAAAAGGAGAAAAGUUACAGAACUAGUGUCCCUAAAAUAUUAUCUAAAUAAAAUUCACCUCAAAAGUAGUAACUUCAGUAUCUUCAUCACUGCCUGUCCUGCUAUCCUUGCCUGAUAACGUGUCCCAGUGGGAAUCGUCCAUGAUCAGACAAUUCCGAUCUUCUGCCUCAAACUCCAUAAUUAGACCUCUACAGGCACUUGAUGCCUCAUGGGAACAUUCCUCUUGAUUAAAAAGAACUGCAUCUAAGAAUUCAGUGACAGAGUCCUGCUCAAUGUUGUCAAAUUGAUUAAGCUCCUGCAGAAGUCCCUGGUUUACUCCAUCAUAAAAUGAGUGGCCCAUAGGAGACACUAUCGGGGAACUUAUAUGGUAAUCAUCAGGACCAAGCUUGUCACAUUCUUGGCCCAGGUAUUGUGCGAAAUCAUCCAACAGAGAAUCAACCUGAAUUUUAUAUCCAAGAAAACAGAACCGUAAGUCAAUAAGCGCCAUCAAAUUUGAGCUUAUAGAAAAUGGUUAACUAAGUCUAGUAAUUUUUUUGUCUGAAGCCACAACAAAGACAUAAAUAAGCAAUGUAAUGAAAAAUAGCUUAAUUUUUAGUGAAUAAAAUAGCAUGUAUUGUUAUUGUCCAUGAUAUCUUACUUCAGUAGCCACAUCGGUCCCCUGAUCAGCAACAUCUGAAGCGAUAGUAGCAUUGCAAUAGCUCUCUUCUGGUUUCAACAAACAGCUGUUUGCAAAAGCCAUUUUAUCUGCUACUAACUCAUUAAUAGCUGAUGGUGGCAUCUCAAAGAUACGAGGCAAAGGUUGCAGAUUUUCUUGCAAAUCCAACCCUGUAAGGUUUUGGUUCAAUGAUGUCAGAACUUCCUCUGCAGCCUCUGAUCCAUGCUGCGUCUCACCUGGUGAAACAAUGGUUGGAGAAGGAGAUAAGCCAGUACUUUCCAUCUCAUCAACAUUUUUCUCCAUGCAAUCAUUGAUCUCAGAAACUAAGGUCUGUUCUUCAGGCUUCCUGAAUAAACGACAAAGAACAUAGCCACCCUGCACAAGAUUAAAAAUAUAUGAAACAAAUUCCAUGUACCUCCAGUUGGUUUCAAUGCAUGUAGAUCAAUUAGUAAACAAAAUCAGAAGAAAAAAAAUCAUAAGUACUGAACAGAUUUAGUUAGUGUGCUGAUAAUUAAAUGAGAAGAAGAAGCGACUCACCUGCUCACCCGACUCAUAUUCGGGCUCAGUGGUUCGAUACUCAUGCAUAAUCCAAUUAGUGCGGACGCCCUUGGGAGCCCGGCCGCGGUGGAAGACAAGGGUCUUUUUCAUGCCUAAAAUCAUCGAACCUGGUGAUCUGGACUUGAUCGUCCGAUCCUUCCCUGUGGCCUUCCAGUACCCAGCCUCCGUAGCCCGGUUGGAACGGUUGCCGCUGGGAUACUUCCGGUCCUUUGGUGAGAAGAAGAACCACUCCGGAUCAAUUGAUUUGAUCAAUGAUUUGUCUGCUGACCAACACAGAAACCAUUACAGCAGUUAGAAAUAGAAUCUUCACAAACAAAAGCAGCGUUGGAAAGCAAAGGAUUGAACGCAAUGCCAGAUCCGAAAUUGAAUGUUCCGGACAAAACCGCGAGGAGAUAUCAGUGCAUGCACAAAAAAUCAUUUUUUUCUCAAACGAAAAAAGAGGGGAAACAAACAUUUAGGGCCGAUCCAAACAAAAGGCAAGCUUUGACAACAAGAACCUGAAGAUAAAACAAGGACGAGAAGGAAGAAGCAGGAAUAGAGAUCGGAAAGGGGAAUGAUCACCGGGGACGUCCCACGGCUCGCACUUGCAGACGUCUAUCUCGGGGAUGACCUCGAUCUCCGACUUGAUACGGCCGGUGAUCUUGCCCUUUAGGUAGUGAUUCACCAACUCCGCAUCCGUCGGACGGAAUCGGAACCCCAAGGGCAGCGAUUCAACGGAGACAGCAUCCAUUUCCACCGCUCACUCCUCUCCCGUCACUAUUCGCCAACCCACUACUGCCUCUGCUCGUCAAUACACCAAAUCGGGUUGUACAGACAAGAAGAACAAGAGAAAUAGGAUCGCCAAAAACUACAGAACAUCAAGGCAAGGACGAUCCGCGGAAGGCAUACCGGACCUACUGCGCUUGCUCCGCCUUUUUUCAUAUUUAUAGUCAGUCUCAUUCGCACUCUUACUGUUGCAUGAUCGAUGAUAAGACUAUGAUGCCCCUGUCCAAAGGUGGACAAGAUUCGGUCAAUUGGGGGCGACUCUGGGGACUGUUAAGUAAUUUGAUUGACAGUUUUGAGGAGGCUUCUUCGAAGGGACGGCAGGGCCGACCAAACUCCCAGUGUAGACGCGUGGUUGAGGCCUUAGAAACCGUUGGAUGGAGAUCGGACGGACUCCUUGCGCUUCUCGGCUUUGCUUCGGCGCGAAGGAUUAGGAUGGUGGGCUCGCCAUGUUGACCGCGGACCGUGUCUGGGAGUCCGUGUCAGGUAGGAGCAAUCCUGUUUUGAUUGACGUCAGUUGCAUUUUUUCUUACCUGCCUCGUGAUUGGUUGCAUUCGGCUCUUCUUCCAAAAGCAUGGUGGGUCCGUCACGAGUAUAUUGAAAACUACGCGACAAGUAAUAGCGAAAGUUUUCCUACCCGUUUUAUCGUCACCCAGACACCUACUUGCUUGUAAUCGGUCCUCAAGCUCGGGCCCACAAGGCGUCCAACGAGAUGAACGGGUAAACGACGCAUCGUUGGACGAGCAAUGAAGGGCAUUCGAGGAGCAUUAAGCCAAUGUGUACGUAUCCUUUACUCCGAACUCUGAAAGGUUCGGAUCACGAUAAGUUCAGCUGAGAUUGAGAUUUCUCGAAGGAUAUGAGCUUUGUUUGCACGGAAUCCGUCGUGUGUGCUGUAUCAUAUACAUUUUCUUCGUGUUGUUAUUAAGCGACAUGAUUUUUGUAGAAAAAAUCGAAAACGACAUCAUAUACGUAGUAGAAAAAUAUAAAUAAAAUUUUUAAAUUUCUCGACAAGCGUUCGUCGUAAAAAAUUUAUGCGUAAAAUCUUACUGAAAAACACGUGUGAGAUAAUUAUGUUACGAAGAUUAUAUAGACUACAUAAAAAUUUAAAUUUUAUAUGUGAUAAUAUUUAUAAAAAUUAGAUGAUAUGGAGUAGAAUAUCAUAUAUUUACAUUUUCGAUCGAUUAAGUUUAGAUAAUUAAUCAAAAAAUAUAUAAUACUUAUCGUAAAUGCUUGAUGUGGUGGACACACUGAUGGUUACAUCAAUCCAAUUUAGUUUAAACUCGUGUAUAUAAGAAAUUUGAUGUAAGCAAAAAGAAUAUUUUGAUAUUCAUAUGAUGAUUAAUGAGUAUUCAAACGCUUGAUUCAAUCUAUAUAAAUAUUGAAAUUGGAUGAGUUUAUUAAUAUGAUCCUACUAGUCGAAUCGAAAAAAGAAAUUUUUUAUCAAAAUAAUAAUUAACUUCGAUUACAUAUCCUUAUGAUUUUUUAUAAUUAAUUUAAUCAAAAAAAUAUUAUGACUUUUUUAUAAUAAAUUAAAUCAAAAAGUAUAUUAUAUGAUAUGGAUGAAAUAUACUCCUGACCUUCUACUAUGCAAUAUGGGUAGAAUAUUACAUCCUUCUAUUUUGUACUAAUAUCCUCUUAUUAUGCUUUGAGUAAUAAAUUUUUUUAUCAAUACUUAAAAAAAUAUAUCCAAUUUGGAUAUUAAGAUUCUCUCCAUUUAAACAAGAUACAAAAAGCUUAUGUUAAUCAUUUAUACCCCUAACUAAUAUUAGUUAAUUUAAAUUUAAAAAUACAAUAUAUAAAAUGCCUAAGGUCCUUGGUAAUUAGAUUCGUUGAUAUUAAUAUUAAUUAGAAUAAUAUGUUAGAAAACUUGCUGCGAAUAGUUGAACUUACAUGUAUACCAUGUUAUAUAUACAAAAUUAUAGUUUUCAUAGGGUGACGAUAUAUGUUAAACUUCAAUAUAUAUAUAUAUAUAUAUAUAUAAUAAUAAUAAUAAUAAUAAUAAUAAUAAUAAUAAUAAUAAUAAUAAAAUAAAUAAUAAUAACAUUUACUUGCAGGAGCAAAUAUUAUAUUUCGGAACUUUUGCAAGGAUAGAUAUGUAAAAAUACCCAUCGCACCAUGUCGCGCCCGCAACAUAACCGUCACAAACGCCGUUAAACCGAAACAUCAUUGCAAACCCUAACGUGCCUUCCGACCACUAUUUAUAUCGUCUGCCACGCGAUCUUCAACAUAUCGAAGAAGCGGCGACCUUUAACCCUAGUUUCUCGGCUCCCUACCAGAGAAGAAGCGACCGCCGCCUCCGCCGAGAUGGGCCGUGUCCGGACGAAGACCGUGAAGAAGUCCUCCCGCCAGGUGAUCGAGAGGUACUACUCGCGCAUGACCGUCGACUUCCAUAUGAACAAGAAGAUCCUCGAGGAGGUGGCCAUCAUCCCAUCGAAGCGGCUGCGCAACAAGAUCGCUGGGUUCAGCACCCACCUCAUGCGCCGGAUCCAGCGGGGUCCCGUCCGCGGGAUCUCCCUCAAGCUCCAGGAGGAGGAGCGCGAGCGCCGUAUGGACUUCGUCCCCGACGAGUCCGCCAUCAAGGUUGACCACAUAGAGAUCGACGGUCAGACCUUCGACAUGCUUGCUGCCCUUGGCAUGGCUGACCUCCCCGGUGUCGAGAAGCAGGCCGUCGCCUCCGCUCCGCCCGCCUACUCGUCCCGCCCCGUCGGCGGCUACGGCCGCAGACUGUGAGAUUGCUUCAUCUCAAGCUCAUUCGUCCUUUUAUAUUACUUAAAUCUGGAGGAUCCAUAAGUUUGUCAAUUUAAACGUUUUGAAUUAUUUACUCGGACUAGUUUAAAUGUAGCUUUAUUGGUUCUACUUUGAUCUCGAACUUGACUUGGAUGUUGGAACUGCAGUAUCAAUUAAUUUGGAGUUUCAUAUAACUGGUAGUGGUUGGAAUUUUACAUUUUGAUGAGUAUUUUUCAUAAUUUUCCUUUAUUCAGCGUGCUUAUUAUGUUGUUCAUGUUAAUCAUGCAUAUGAUAAGACCCUAAAAUCUUAUCGUAUACCAAAUGAUAAGACCCUAAAGUCUUAUCGUAGGCUCUGAUACCAAUUGAUAAGACCCUAAAGUCUUAUAGUAAAAAGAAGAAGAAAAGGGAAUGAUAAUGAUCGCUUCGAGGGGAUCGACCCUCUUUGAUCUCUUUGAGGGAAUCGGCCUUCCUUGAUCUCUUCGAGGGGAUCGGCCCUCCUUGAUCACUUCGAGGGGAUCGGCCUCCUAGGGUUUGUCCAAAGACAAUAGUAUUUUUCAUAGAUUACUGAAAAGAAGCAGUUACAUCCCUAUUUGUAGAGUUCCACCUGGAGUCCAUCAGGACUUGAACUCUAAUAAUAAAUAAAUAUUAAAUAAAUCUUUACUUGACUCUAAUUGAACCAAAUCGACUCAAUAAAUAACUAGACUAAACAGACUCAAUAAACAUUAUUCAAAAGCUCAUAAAAAAGGGUCCUAACAGUUCCUCCCUCUUCAAAUCAGUCUUGUCCUCAAGGCUGAGCAGCAUCAAUCUCUGGGAGCUUCUCUUUCAGCACUUUAGCCAUAGACUAUCUGUAACGCAUCACAACCCGUUGAUCAAGUAAGUAUGAUAUCCACUUUUUAAUAGUGUAAGCAAUAAGUCGGUCUUUUAAUAGUCUAGACUUUAGGGUCUUAUCAGCAUACUGUAACAAAAUAAUUUCUUCUUUUAGUUUAGACAUCGUAGAAGAAUCUCAAAUAUUGAACAAGUGAGAAGGAUUUUAUUGAAACUGUUGGUCGUUUUAUAUGUUAAUUUUCUGUAAAAGUUAUACUUUGUGUUCUCACUGCUAUCAUGUUUUGUCAUGUACUUGAUGAUUUGUUCUUAAAGUUUAUCUCUCGUUUUUCUGGAACUUACAUGCUUGAAUUUUGAAACAUUUCUGGUAAGUAGGACUACCGUGUAAUUUGAUUGAACUUGUAAAAACUAUUAGUGGAUAUUGAACCUGGGAAGCCCAAAAUUGUAAUCAAAUUACAUUAUUUAAACUAAUUACAUUCAAGGUAGAAAAAGGGAAGGAUACUUCUUUUUUUCUUGAUCAGAUCAUUCGGAAAUUGCUCAGCUCGGCUUUUCUUUUCCAUACCUUGGUUUCUGCCAGAAAUUCUCAUCUCCAACUUAAACAGCUAAGUUGAGAAGUGACAGUGCCUAAUCUAUUUGAUCUGUUAUCCCUAUGUGAGAUUGCCAGUAAUGUUUUACCCAAACAAAGAAUGUGGUGUUGCUAACGUUCACAUUGUCUUGUUGAUACAUUCUGCACAGCACCGACCUCACCAAUAUAGUGGUCUUAUUUAAUUUCUGUAUUUCAGUAUGAUCAGUUGCUCUAACUUGUAAAUAUGUAGGACAGUGGUUUAUCCAUGUUUUAUUCUGUUAAUUGAAUUCAUUUAGAGAACUGCCGUUUACAACACCCCUACAAAAUGUCUCUCUCUGUCACAAAGCGAUUUAUUGGUCUGACUGAUUAGAUUAUUUUUCUUCUGCAUGCUUAUAAAGUUUAGAAAAAUCCAAUCAUCUCAGAUAUAGAAUUACAAAUAUGAAUUUAUCCAACAGUUGGUUGGGAAAGCUGGAAUCCAAUAAACAGAGGCAUAACUCUCAAUUCUUUGGCUAGACAAUGUUACCUUUCACUUCAAUUCUUUUAAUUUGAUUUUUAUGUUUUGAUUUGCUUUUUGUUGUUUAUUGUUUUUUGUUGUUUUAUCUUUUGGUUCUGAAUUCUCGCUAUCACGAAUUACUGAACUUUAGCAGUCUUCUGUGGCGUGCUUGUCUCAUUAUACUCGUCAAACACCAGAGUCUAUGCUGUAAAUUGCUCCUACUGUUUGAUGCAAUACCUUACUGUUGCAUAUCAACAAAAUAAUUUGGAUUUAGUUUCUUCUUCAUAUCAUGCUGUGGUUGUUUAGUUUUUGUGCCAUUCUUUCCGCUGAUUCUUCCCAGGAAACAUGAAAUAGUAGGAUUGAGUAGUCUAAUAUUAGGGCUAGCAACAUUUGAUUAGGAUAAAAUAUUAGGGGCUGCAGGAUUAAUCCAUUUUAUAAAAGACAACGAAAAGUCACAUACUGAUGAGGAGUAAGGAUAAAUAUAUUUUGUCUAUCCGACAUCUGAUGAUAUACAUUGCAAGAGAGCUGUUCCAUUAGCUGAUAUUAAGAUUUGACGUGCUUCUGAAUUUGUACUUGUCAUGAUGAGAAUGUAUUUCAGCUACAUAACGUGGUCAAACGGAUUUUGGAAUAGUAUUGACUUUUCAUCUGCCAAAUUUCUGUAAGUCUUUAAUACUUUUUGUUACCUCAGGAAUAAAAAGUCAACCGUAUGGUUGACUAAUUGAUUCAAUUUAGCACCAUUUGAAAUUGACUGUUGAUUUCUGGAGAAAAUCUCCUGUAUUUCUUUUUGAAUGUACAAUACGGGAAAAGUCCUCGCUCUACGAUACGGUGUAGAGAAUGAUCUCACGAGAUUGAAGAUAGAAACAACACAAGAGUAGGAUAGAGAAAACCUAUAUAUAUAUAUAUAUAUAUAUAUGUAUAUGUAUGAAGGGAUUCUAACUACGAAUAAAGUUGAGAAAUGCCUGAGCCAAUUCAGAUAUCUAAUUAAUUGGAUUCAAUCAUGACGUGAUCCGUUCAUGAUGGAUCCGCUGCGUGUGGUGGUAUCAUCCAUCCGUUGAUUGCAACUUCGGGAAGGGUAAUAUUGUCAAUUUAUGUGGACACGAGGGAGAGGGCGGUCGCCUAAAUUGCACCAGCGCGCAAAGCAGGUUUCGGCCACCCGCGUCACCUAUCUCAUCGGGUUGGGUAGCGUUGAUCAUGACCUUACACGUGUCUCUACGAGGAGUGUUGAUCUUCCGGUAUAUCAUCAUCACUAUAUUUACUUUUUUGCCAUCAUAUAUUUUCCCUUUCACGUUCCCCAUCUGUCCUUUCAGUCUUAAUUAUUUUCGCCAUUUCUCACGGGCUGCCUUUACUUUCCGACUCGCCACCGAAUUGAUCAUUUCGGCGAGAUCGUCGAUGUCCGGCCCGUAAUUUUGUCCAAUGUCGGGGGUAUUCUCGGUUCUGUCGCGGGUCUAUAUAUUCGUCGAUCUCUAGGGGUUCUCUUCCUCUCAAAUCCUCCUCUUCCUCUUUAAUCUUGCGUUUCCUCCUCCUCUCACGCUUCCUUUGUCCCCUUCGGCGGCUGCCUCCGCCUGCUCGUCGUCAUAACGGCGGGUUUCGCCAGAUUCUUGGUGGUCACGCGCCCUCUUCUUCUUACCCUUUUGCACCAGUUGAUCUCUUCUAUUUCCCCUUUUUUGUCCCUCGAUUACUUUUGCGUGCCGAGACGUCGUCGUCUUGCUGACGAGGUGUCAUAUUAACAUGUCGAGCCACGUCCGGGCCGCAGAUGCGACAAUUGGCGCGGGGAGGAAGCGGAAGGACCGUGACCAGUCCGACUUCCCUCGCGCCGAAUCUCCUGCUUGGUCCGAUCGUUCUCGGCCGGCGCCGGCUCGCGACAACCGGCUCCUUGCUGGGUGCCUGGCGCACGAGUUUCUCACGAGGGGGACCCUCUUGGGGAAGCGGUGGGAGGCGAACGGGUCCGAGCCCAAUAACAAAUUCGCGGGCCCGAUUCUGUCGGGUUCGGGCGCGGAGCCGCCGAGCUCGUACGCCGAGUUGUCCUAUUUGCUGAAAGCGGAGGGGGCUCGCUUUCCUGGCGUGGUCAAUCCGUCCCAACUCGCUCGUUGGAUUCGGAUGUGAGGCCGCGUUAACCCCAUGGGGGGCAGCACGCGAGGCUGCCGACGUGCGUUGACGGUCAAACUGGAUUCUAAGAGCUUGCCGUAUGGACGAGAGACCGGAGAGAUGGCUCGGCUCAGUAAGAUGAAUCUCAUCGUGAAAGCAAGGCACGCAAACUUCUCAUCUUCUCUAUGGGUUCGUCCUUUCACCGAGUCGUUGAUGGAAGUUUUCUGGGUCAGAACUCAGGGUUUUGAUGUGGCUUUUGCUUUACAAUGGUGAAAAGUGUAGCUUUUACUCAUUGCGCUGCUGUUCUUCAUGCCGUCGUGCUUCUUUUUCGUUGAAGAAUGUGCUGUCGAGUGACGGAUAGAUGUAUGAUGUUAUGCCACAGAGUGAGCGGGUGUGUGCUUCUCGUCACGCGAUGGCUCUCACUUGUGCUGCUAAGAUCUGAUAAAGCUACAUCAGAUUUAUGCUUGACUAAGCCGUUCGAUGCUCAAGUUAUUAUAGAUUCUGGGAGUUCGAUCAAAUAUCGAGUUCAAGAUAGGAUAAUUAGCUAGAGAGAGAUUUAAGAAUAUAGCUAAGGGCUUUUUAUAGGAUUAAUGUCGAAAACGAUUGUACUUAUCGUCCAACCAUUAAUGCAAUCAUAAAAUUGUACAUCAAAUAUAGAAAUAUGGGAUAACACUUUGUUAUAUUGGUGGCACAUUGUCAACGUCCAUGUGGUGUGUCGAUAUAAUAAGAUUGAAGAUUGAAGUAUCGAUCAUAUGGAGAUGAUGUUUUGGAUAAAUAGGUAGAUGUUGAUUAGAUGGGUUCUAAUUCCACGUGGUGUGUCGGUCAUAUGGAAAUGAUGCAUUGGUAGAUGUUGAUUAGACGGAGAUAUAUGGCGGUAUUAGUUGUAUGGAGAUAAUCCGUCGGUUCGAUUUCCACCUAUCAAAUCUCUUUGCCAAUUUUUAAUUUUUUUUACUACUUUUAAAUAUUAUGAUUCUUUUCCUUUGAACUUAUCAGUAGGGAAGAUAGAGUUUCACUUUAAAUAGAAUGUUAUAUCAAAUAAUGAAUUCCUAUAAACGCCAAGCCAUUGUCUCAACAUAGUGUUUUAGCCAUUAAUCAAUUGUAUUUCAUUUUACGGAAGGAUUUGAAUUUUAUUUGAGGGAGGUAAAAUGAGAUAAAAAAAUAUUUUUAUUCCUCAAAAUAUAUGUAUAAAAUAUAUGUUAUCGAGAUAAAAGUAUUGAGAUGAAUAUGUGGAGAUACUAAGAAAAAAAAUAUUUUUAUUCGUGAAUAAAUUAGGUAUCAUUUUGAUUGAUAAUAAGAUGAGAAAAAAUCGUAAGAAAAUCUAUGGAUAGAAGAGAUGAAAUAAUUAAUUUUAGAAUAAGUAACGAAAUACGUAAAAUGAUUUUAAUAGAAAUCAUAAAUUAAAAUUUAAGUACUAAACUUGGAUAUAUAAUUUGCUAUAAAUAAUAUCCAAAAUAAUUAAGAUUCAUGACUUUAUUUUUGUUAUAAUAAUAAUAAUAAUAAUAAUAAUACUAAUAAUAUAUCUCUCUGAUUAAUAUCCAUCAAAAAAAAAACUCGAAUCAACCGCUACUCAUAGUAAUUAUUAGUAUUUACAAUAAUAAAAAAAUAAUAAAAUCUCAAUUAUUAAUAAUUAAUUUAAAUAAGAAAUAAAAUAUAAUUUACCCAAAAUAAAGACAUUCGUUGUCGAAACUGAUAAAUCUAUAAGACACCUAAAAUUUUCCUCAAGUUCUUAUCAUCAAAUUAGUUUGAAAUAAUAGUCAAGUGGGCACAUAAAAAGAGGGACAUAAAUGUAAUUGUAUGUAAAGGAAACUGCACUGAAACAUGUAGCCAGCUCGAUGGCACCUCUCACCCUCUCAUGCUCCUCCAUUUCCGCUGCCUUUCUUAGUUCGUCUCCCCCACCUUCUCAUUCCCAUCACAAAAAUUCCAACAAUAAACAUAUAAAUUAAUACAAAACUGCAAAUAAAUCUAAAGUCCAGGCGACUACCUAUCCUUUCUUCUCCCCUCUCUCUCUCUCUCUCUCUCUCUCUCCACGCCUUCCAAUUGCUCCCAUGCAGGUAUAGCCUUCCAUGUCGUCGUCGUCUCCUUCUUCUUCUUUCUCCCUGCGCGCCGUAGCCUGACCUACCGCAGCAUGGGGCGCCAGCACUCCCACUCCUCCAUCUCACGCUCGGACACCGACCCCAGCCUCGAGCUCGAGUGCCCCUUCGGAAGGAUCGACCCCCUCACGCGGACCGACCUCCGCGAGGCGGUGUACGAGCUCUUCUUCAUGACGUGCCGCUCCUCCCCCGGCUUCGGCGGCAGCCGGGGCUCCCUGAACUACUACCCGUCGUCGCCGGCCAGCACCGGCGCCGGCGGGGAGGGGUCUCCCAAGUGGGGGUCGUCUGGGAUGACGGUGGCCAGGAGCCGCAUCAAGAAGGCGCUGGGGCUGAAUGCGAGGCGAUCGUCGCCGAUGACGACGGGGAUGUCCAGCGGGUCCAACUCGCCCGGAAAGGCGAGGCGGCCGAUGACCUCCGCGGAGAUCAUGCGGCUGCAGAUGCGCGUCACGGAGCAGAGCGAUCGCCGGCUAAGGAAGACCCUCAUGAGGACCCUCGUCGGACAGGUGACUCGUGCAUGCAUGCAUCCAUCCAUCUCAGCCUUACCACAUAACCUCUAGAUUUGCUGCCUUGUACAUUUGCGUUGAUCCAUUAAGGCUUAAUGAACAAAAAGAUAUGUAUUCAUUUCAUUUGCUUCACAAAUCGAUCUUCAAUAUACAGGAAGGGUUUGGAUUGCUCCUCCCUCGCACCUCCAUGAUGACAUUUUUCUUGCUGAUGAUAACAGGUGGGAAGAAAAGCAGAGACGAUCAUCCUUCCAUUGGAGCUCCUUCGCCAGCUAAAGCCCUCUGAAUUCAACGACGCACAAGAAUACCACCAAUGGCAACGGCGGCAGCUCAAGAUCCUCGAAGCAGGCCUUAUCUUAUACCCGUCUGUCCCUGUAGACCGCCACAGCCCCGCAGCCGCCCGUCUGCUAGAGAUCAUCCGAGCGAGCGAGCUGAAGCCCAUCGACACCAGCAAGAACUCGGAAACCAUGCGCAACCUUUGCAACGCCGUCGUCGCCUUGGUUUGGCGGAGCUCCAGUGGCGCCUCCACUGAAGUAUGCCACUGGGCCGACGGCUACCCUCUCAACGUUCAUCUCUACCUCGCUCUCCUGCACUCCAUCUUCGACCUGCGCGAAGACACCGUGGUGUUGGAUGAGGUCGACGAGCUCAUCGAGCUGAUGAAGAAGACAUGGUCCACCUUGGGCAUCAACAAGAUGAUCCACAAUGUCUGCUUCGCGUGGUUGUUCUUCCAACGAUAUCUGGAGACGGGGCAAAUCGAGCCCGACCUGUUGUGCGCCACGCUAGCAACACUGGUCGAGGUCGCCAGCAACGCCAAGAAGGCCGAUCGCGAUGCUAACUACGUUAAUCUCUUGUCCGGCGCACUGACUGUGAUGCAGAGUUGGGCAGAGGCGAAGGUGUUGGACUACCAUGAGUGCUUCGACAAGGAAACCAUCGCAAGCAUGGAGAACAUAGUCUCCUUGGCACUCUCCACGACGAACAUCAUCGGCGAGGAUCCUUUGGACAACGGGGCCAGUCUUGUCGACGAUGACGGUCAGGCGGCGAUGGAUCCAUCCGUCAACCGGGUAGAUUACUACAUAAGGUCGUCGAUGAGGAGUGCAUUCGCCAAGGUGCCAAUUCUAGCAGUCAAUCCAUGCUUCCCGAGUUCCGAUUCAUAUGUUGAUGGUCCUCUGGUAUGCUUGCGUGUGACAGAUACUGGAGAAUGGAGCGUCCCACGGCGAUAGCGUGAUCGUGGGAAUAAACGACGAUCCUAGCAACAUCCUUCUCCAGCUUGCAGAAGAAACAGAGGAAUUGGCGCUGGUCGAGAAGGAUUUGUUUAGCCCUGUCCUGAGGAAAUGGCAUCAGGUUCCGACUGCGGCCGCGGUGGUGACGAUCCACAGCUGCUUCGGGAUCGUGCUGAAGCAGUACUUGUCCAAGGUCACGUGCCUGACCAACGAGCUGGUGCGGGUGCUGCAAUCCGCCGGCAAGUUGGAGAAGCUGCUGGUGCAGAUGGUCGUCGAGGACUCCGCCGACUGCGAAGACGGAGGGAAGGGGGUGGUGAGGGAGAUGGUCCCGUAUGAUGUGGAUUCCAUUGUCGCAGGCCUCCUCAAGACUUGGAUCGACGAAAGGUUGAGGAUCGGAAAGGAAUGCCUAAGCAGAGCAAAAGAAACAGAGGUAAGUUUUUUGUGCUACCUGAGACCGACAGCAAGCAUCGUGUGAUGUUGAUUGCUUGAGGGAUACGUUGUUGCUUGCAGAGCUGGAUGCCGAGGUCGAAGAACGAGCCCUACGCUCAGUCUUCCAUGGAUUUGAUGAAGCUGGCCAAGGUGACCGUGGAUGAGUUCUUUGAGAUCCCUGUGGGAGCCAGAGAUGACAUGGUUCAAGACCUGGCCGAUGGCUUAGAAACAAUCUUCCAGGAGUACACUACCUUCGUUGCUGCGUGUGGUAUGGACGGUGGCCUCUUUCCCUCUGCUAAGACCUGCGUUGAGUGAGCUCAAUCGUUUCGUUGUUACUCGCAGGGAACAAGCAAAGCUACGUGCCCAGCCUCCCGCCACUGACGAGGUGCAACCAGGACUCCAACUUGGUCAGGCUAUGGAAGAGGGCGGCGGUGCGCUGCAGCGUCGGUAUUGGCCGCUCGAACGGGAAGGACGGCAUCACCAACAUGAACCACCCGCGGCCGUCCACCAGCCGGGGCACGCAGCGGCUCUACAUCCGCCUCAACACCCUUCACUACGUCCUCGCCCACCUCCACGCCCUCGACAAGUCGCUCUCCUUCUUCUCCCGCAGCGGGCCGUCCCCCACGGGCCGCCACACCGCUGCCAACCGCCGCCUCGCCCCGUCCCACCACCUCGGUCUCGCCCGCUCCUCGGUGCAAUCCGCCAUCCAGUACGUGUCGGAGGUGGCCGCCUACCGCCUCAUCUUCCUCGACUCGCGCCACUCGUUUUACGACGGUCUCUACGUGGAGAGCGUCACGGACGCGAGGAUCCAACCCGGGCUCCGCAUCCUGAAGCAGAACCUGACACUGCUGGUGUCGAUCCUCACCGACCGGGCGCAGCCGCUGACGGUGAAGGAGGUGAUGAAGGCGUCGUUCGAGGCGUUCCUGAUGGUGCUACUGGCAGGGGGAAGCGAGCGGGCGUUCGCGCGAGGGGACUACGAGUCGGUGGUCGACGAUUUCCGCAGCCUGAAGCGGGUGUUCUGCACAUGCGGGGAAGGUCUGGUGUUGGAGGAGGUGGUGAACCGGGAGGCGGAGGUGGUGGAGGGAAUCGUGGCGCUCAUGGCCCUGCCCACGGAGAGGCUGAUCGAGGACUUCAGCAUCGCGGCGUGCGAGGCGAGCGGGCUGGUGGGGUUCGGCUUCUGCAGCGGCGGCAGCACCGACACGGCGGAGGGGCCGAAGGUGCCGAUGCCCCCGACGACGGGGAGGUGGAACCGGGCCGAUCCCAACACGGUGUUGAGGGUGCUGUGCCACCGGGACGACGAGAUGGCCAACGAGUUCCUGAAGCGAACGUUUCAGCUGGCCAAGCGGCGGUGAAAGAACAUCACAGGUGAUGGCCUGCGCAGUUUGUAUCAUACGUUAACAGUGGCUGCUAUGGUUUCUGUGAGCAUGUCUUUUUCCUUUUUCUUCUUUUCUAUGUUUGAAUGAACUAAACAGUACUCAUUUACAAAGUUAAUACUAGAAAUCAAAAGUAUAAAAAGCGUAGUGAUUCAUGGCAACCUAACCAUCUUCAGUCUUUCAUAUUUCUUUAGGUAGAUCUUUCAGCUCUUAGAACUUCUCCCAGCUUUCAGGUCUACGUAUCUUUAGUCCUUCAUGUUUCUUUUGGUUUUGGCUUCUGUAAUCUUAUUUCUUAGAGAUGUCUUGUGGAUUUGAUGUCCUAAUCUAAAUCUGCACCCAACCUUUUAGGUCUACAUAUCUUCAGUCUUUCAUCAGUCAGCUGCUACUAAUAAUUUGUGCCAAUUCUUCUGUUACCCCAAAACAUAAUGCAAGUCAGCUUAUAUUUUAGUGCUGGAGUUUUGCAUGAGCCAAUGAACAAAAAAGAUUACCAAACAAGUAAUGUAGAUGGUCAUAAACCAGUAAAUCUAUAUUCCAGUGAGAUGCCUGCUUGAUGAGUGGAAAGAACUGCAGAUAACACUACAAAACAAGCAUCUGAAGUGCUCAUAAAAGAGGACAGCAAUGUAGUAAAGAAAAAGAACUAUAACCCACUUAGCAUGAUUGAUUGACACAUAACUACAUCUCAAGCAAUUGUGUGGAAGGAAAUACUUUAAUAAAAUGACUGCAAAGACCCUACUAGGUUUUGUUCAUUUUUCCAUAGCCAAGUAUUUCAUACUUCAUAAUGUUUGAUAAUGUGUAUCACAUUUUCUCAUCAUGGUCAUGGUUCGUAACAAGGUUCCGAAAAGGGUUGACAGUGGGUUCAAGAUGACUAUCAAUAGAAAGUUCAACAGCAAGUUCAAGCUAUCAUUCCUCUCUCUCUUUUCUUUGUCAACAGCAAGUUCUUCUUGUCCUCCUCUUUUCCUUCUCUCCCUCAUUCUCUUUGGUUCUUGCCGGGCGCAUGUUCUUCAGGCUGUUGACAGCAGGUUCUUAUCUCCCUCUCCUGUAUCAACAGCAGCUCCUCCUCCACUCUUCUCUCCUUCUCUUUGGUCCAUGCCAGCCGACAUGCCUCGCAAACUGAGACUCAUACCGGUUCGGCCAGGGAUUGGAAUGGUUUCUGGACCGGCAUAAGUUGUUUACAUUAUUUGACGGACAAGAAAGAAAUUAAGAUUAGUUGUUCAUGGCUACAAAGAGAAACAUGACCACAUGAUUACUAUCAAACUUUGUAUGAGGUCAAUGCAUAACAACUCAUGAACAGAUCAGACAAUUUAGGUGAAUGCAUGAUCUGAGAAGGUUAAGGUAAUCGGACAUAACAAGUGUACAAUGAUGGAGAACCAAACAAGAAGAAUACCAAACCAUAGAUCCCAACUAAUUAGGGUUGUCUGAUGAAUGGACUAUUUCAGCCAUUGACCUCAAUGCUAGGCAAAAUCACUAGUCAAACUACGAGCAGUAUAAUUUUGUUUGAUAAAUUCUUAGAUCUUCUUCGUUGCACCGGCAAUUUCAUCAGACUUAGCUUGCAUAGCUGGUACAUUUAGGUAUGGAUGAUUUGAUUUCAAAUACUUCUUUCCAAGACUACAAAUUUUCAUCUUGAAGUGAAGUGUCCAUCUACAGUUGUAAAAUCAAUAUCUCCAAAUUGCGCCAAUCAAGAAGCAGAGUUAGAAUAUUUACCAAUCAAGAAGCAUAAUUAGAUCUACUUAAUGUACACAAGUAUUCUAUGAAAAGUAUUGAGGUGGACCAGAGCACAAAAAGGGUAGCUUCAGUGGAAACCUAAGGGAGUCAAGCAAAAUUCAUCUUUUUUCUCGUGCAAUCGAUUUCCUCCAACCAAGACAUUGAUUCUUCCAAUUUCAAAGGUUUUCAGUAGCAUAAAGGAUCUUCCAUACCCUUUUUCUUGUAACUAUCAUCACGACCGUGUGGAUUAGCAUCAGCCACCAAAAACCCCAACCCUAAACUGAAGUGGGAUUUUUAGUCCUUAGCUGAAGGAGGAGGAGUUCAUAUCCACAUCCCACUUCUUCGGAAACACCCUAAGAUCCUCAAUCCAUUGUUCCACAUCUUUGCUACGCAAAAGCCUGAGAAAAUUACUAAUCAAGAACGUAACUUCCCAAUCCUAAUGCCAGAAUCAAUCACGAGACAGACAAAGAUAGAAUUUCUAGAACUUUAUCGGUCCAAAUUAGGAGAGAAGAAUAGUAUGACAAUCAAGAUGGAAAUAAAGUAACCAUGAAAGAUCCAUUGUAACCAACCAAUGCCAAUCAAAUGGAACCAAAACGAGAGAAAACUCCGUAGUUUUCACUAUUCUCGACCGAAGAGGUAAGAACUUGGAAAAGGUUUCCCAAUCGCUAGCGAAACAAUCAAAUGAAGAAUGAAAAAACAACGCAAAGAACGAAUCGAACGAUCAAAUUGGAUCGGUUUCUCAAAAUUCUUACCGGGACGAUUGAGGACCAACGUCGAUCACAGGGGACGGACGAUACGAAGAAGGCUUCUGGCAGGCAGAAGCCGAGCAAGAGGGAGAAAAGGGGAGGAGUAAUCUUUGAUCGACCGACAAUUUCUUUUUCUUUUUUCUUUUUUAAACUAUUGAUGCGAAAUGAUAUAACAUUUGUAUAAAUAAAAUGUAAUAAAAUUUAUGAUCAGAUGAUUUGUUGUUGUUAUGAUAUUGAUUGGAAUAUUGAAUGUGAUUAUCUAUUUAUCAGCAUUAUAUCUGCUAUAUUUUAUAGACACAAUAACUAAACUAGUGUUCAAGCUGGCCAUAGCACUUGUUUUAUCAUCUCAAUUUAUUAGCUGGUCUUAUUUCUUUCUACUUCGUGUUCAUUGGUAUGCCGAUUGCUGCAUGAGCAGUGAGUGGCUCAAACUCUAAUCACACACUGCGGAGAAUGAUCUGCGCAUAGAUGGAAGAGAAGCAUCGGACAAAGCUCUAUCGAGAAGGUGUAGCUACGAGUUGAGUCUCAUCACCAUCAGGUUUGCGAGCGAGGUACAUGGCAAUUUAGUUGCAAGAGAAGAAGACGGUGGGAGAUCUAAGAAAGGGAAGCGUCAUCAAAAUUCUGGGAGUAGCUCUCUCCGUGUCAUAUCCUCCGAAUCGAGCUCGCCUCGGCUUCGAGGCUUGUUGCCUCCACUGCUGCUCUGCAUUAGCUUCCACAGGAAUUGUCUAAUUGGCAUAGACUGAUGGGCCUCUGUAAGCCUCGUUCUACUCUCUUCUGCAGCCAAUCUCUUCGCCCAGUUCAGUGCAUGCAUCCUUCUCUUUCCCUUGGUUCUUAGGAGAAUCAUCUUUAGCCUAUUCUCUUGAAGCCUCGGUUCACGAUCGUCUAUGUUGCACACUGCAAUCUGAUGCUUGUUUAUACUGCUAAUUCCAGAGCGCGUUGGAGACCAGACAGAUGCACAAGAGGCAUCCGCAACGGUGAGUGGACCACAUUGGUCCUCUUUCCUUGUCCUCUCAACAUCAAUCCAAGUUAAGUGGUUUAAUUAUAUAUUAUUUUUAAUAUUUUGAUUCUUAUAUUUUUAAAGACUAUAUUAUAAAUUUUAUAUUUACAAAAAUAAAAUAUUAAAAUCCUUAUACAUAAUAAAAAAUUAAAAAAUUAUUAAAAUAACGAGAUUAUAAGAAUUUUAAUGUAACUUUUAAAAAUAUAAAGAUCAGGAUACUAAAUAUACUACAGAUCUUUUGUGCGAAUGGAUAAGGAUUUUUUUUUCCACUUUUUAUGAUAAUUUGUUGUUAAUUCAACUUAAAAUUUUUACUUAUGAAUCAAAACCAACAUAUAUAAUCGGACUCGUUCAAUCCUUGAUAAUAUGAGAUUAUUUUACGUUCGGUUCCCUUUCAUACAUAAAUAUUCUCUUAAUGAAUAAGCCAUAAAAUUCUCUUAAACAACAAGCUGGAAUUUUAGUGAUUGCAACUAUGACAGUUAGCUAUUUCUUGCAACAAACAAGCAUCAAGAUGUUAUAUAGUUCAUCUAAAUAAAACAUGAUAUGAAAAGCAUAAUGUGUUCCUUAGAAAUGCUUACUAUUUCUUGAAUAUCUUUACUAGCUUCUUUGGCAAAAAACAAGCAUGCGAUGACAUAUAGUACAGAAAACUAGACAGCAUGACAGAGAAAGAUAAUGUGCAACAUUUGUUUUGAAAUGAUAAAAAACCACUACUAUGUGUUCUUUAAAAUGCUUACAAUUUCUUGAAUAUCCUCAAGACUCGAAGAAAUCCCUGCAAAAAUAUGUAAAUCAAUGUCUUUCAACCUUUUUGUCCUUGAAUAAUUUGUUUAAGAUAGAAGAAAUUACCUGUGUCGGGAACCAUCUGUUUGCCACUGCUCAAACAGUGCUUCUUGCAAACCCCAUCUUGUUUCAUAUCUCCCAACCUCUUGCUCUUUAGUUCAGCAGCUACUUUCUGAUGCAGUUUGGAUGCUGAUUCUACUAACUCUGAAACAACAGCAGAUACAGUAACAACAUAUAAAAUAAUAAAAAGGCAGAUGGAACAGACCAUAUAAAUAAGCUGUCAUGCAGAGUGUUCCAUCAUUUUGCACUGUAUGCUAAUUUGUUUGAAUUAGUUGAAACAAUACGAUAACAUAUAUUCGUUUUUUGGAGUGCAUCCAUUAGUUCAAUUUUUCACCAGGCAAUCAUAAAUGCAUUUGGUCAAAAUUAAGCAAUUUAUAUCUGUGUCCAACUUGUCAAUCUUAAGUUUGACAAGUUAAACAUAAACAGCGAAAAAAAAGUCCAUUUAAUAUUCUUAUUUCAAUAUGCUGAGCUCAGACACUCUUGAGAUGCAAACACUCUUCUGCCUACUCUCCAUUUCACAAGAUGUGCUCAUACAACACUAAGUUUCUUUUCUCAGUUCAGACAUGUAAACAUGAUGUAUUUUCAAGAGCUCCAAGUCACAGAAAAUAGAGAUUUAGAUUCUACGAACAAGUAAUACAAGUGUUACUGUGUGUAUGACAUAAAUAAAACACAUCGAAAACCAUCUCCUGCACAAUGGAAGAAUGUUUUCAAUUAAAUGUCUAGCAUGUAAGGUCAAAAAUCCAAAACAUUUCUCAUCCAUUUUUUAAAACGAUAAAAAUGGCAUAAGUAAACGAAAUAAGACACUGGGCAAGGUCAAGAAUGUUGACACAAUAGAAAGAAUGAUGAUAAACAUGUAGAAGUUACUAGUCUGAUAAGCAAAUUGGAGAACAGUGAAGGAUCAAGAUGACAAUAAAGAAACCUUGAAACAUCAGAUGCACCGAGUGUUCCUUAAAUAGUUGUUGCACCUCAGCAACAGAAGCAUUGUAUUUGUUGUCAGCAGUUGACUGCAUCUCCAACAAAUUGAUCUCCCUAUGCAGCGCUUGAGAUUCCUUCCCCGCCUGAGGAAGUCAACUUAGUUCCAUGCAAGAAACAAUUUUUUAAAAAGAACUAAAAUAUUGAUAAUACCACAAAGAUAGUGAGUUUCUUACAGCUGCAAGUUUUUCUCUCAAAGAGUCCAAAUGAGAAUCGAGUUCUUGAUCUGACAAGACUUCUUGAAGCACUGAAAUGGAAUAUUCUUUCUGAAAAUAACAUCAACCGGUACAUUUAGGUGGAGUUCUACAGAGAAAUAACACCAGAUUGACUUGGCAAUCAUAGAAGAAAUUCCAAGAGUAAGCACAAUAGCCAUUUUCCAUUCAAUACAAAAUCGUGAGUACUGAAACUGAAGAGACACGAGGCCAGACCAAUAUAUCUGAACCAUAACUCAAAUCAGUUUGUUUGAUGCAUCAUGUCAGAAAACCAGGUCCAGGUCUAGGAGUUCUACAAUUGUUUGAAUUUUGCCUGACUAAGAAGAGAUUGAUGAUGAAGAAGGUUAGGAUAAGCUUAACAUCAAAUUAGAGGUACUCUUAGGGAAAAAGAAAACCACGGGUCUGUGCAUUGUCAUAACAAGUCAUAAUCAGCAAAAAAGAAAAAAGAUUUGAAUAUAUUUCAGGCAAAGAUUGGAUGCAAGAUACUUGUCAUAAUAUAGGUUUGUGCUCCAAUUUUGAUAGAAAAACCUACAGUUUUGGGCAACACAAAUCCAUCUGGAAUGGAAAAACAAUGCCGAAGGCAGUACUUCUCCCACAUGCUCAUUCUCUUAUCCAAAACUGCUUGAGUCAAGUGACGAAGGGAAGAUACACCCUACCAAAAAAAAGACAACAAUUAUCAUUGGUAGGAAAACAAUCUUUCCCACAAUAUGGAGAUGUUAUCCAGAGUCAUCAUUCCAUCCGUUAAAUUUAUGAGUCCUACAGAUAUGUGAUUAGUAACAUAUUUAUAUUAGUUAUCAGUUAAUAAAAUAAUGUCAAUAAACAAGCUUCCAUGAUAAUGUAUUUGAUGUGCCAACAGCAGAAACAAACUUAUGAAGAUUAUAAUGUAGAUGAGUGAGAGGUAUAAACCAACAGCAAUCAACUCACUAAAAAACAUAUUGAUACCAUGGUGUAGUAAUCUAUAGGUAUUAGGUUGCCAAGUGUGUUGUGCCCAUCACAUUGUUUUGUGCUGUGCACAUGUACAUCUAUGCCCCCAAAUUUAUACAGCAGUAUUGUCACACAUCCAUGCUCAAUGCUGCUACUCAACUAGCUUGGUUACUCUAAAUAUGGCACAAGGCCACACAUCCAACAUGUGCCAUUCAAUAAUAUGGCGAUGAUGUUUUAAUUUUUUAGAUCUCAAUGAUUAUACUGUGUUGCUCAAGAGAGGAAAUUCCUAUUCAUUUAAAGGUAGAAUAAUUUGAUAAUGUAGUUCACACUCACUUGUUGAAAUACACCAUUUUUGGGUGCCAAUUCAGUAGAAAAUGCCAUUUUAGUUUGCAGACUAUCUUACCGUUCCAAUUUUCUGAACACCCUAUGUCAAAUAUAAAUCUCCUUUCUUUUAGUGUACAUAAAAAGUAUAAUCUGGACUUUUCUAAAAUUAUACUUAUCAACUAAAAAUGGACACUGGAAUCGAGAAUGUAGUUAAGUUGGAUGGACAAGAAAUUCCAAUAAGUUUGAAAUAUCUUAAAUCAAUUACUUAAUAAGAUGGAGAGAUGAUUAAUGAGGAUAUUGUUUAUAGAAUAAAAACUAAAUGAUGAAAGUUUUACAUGAUUGUUGGAUGUCCAUUAGAUUAGCAAAAAAAAAAAAUUACAACAUAGAUGUUAGGCCAGUGAUGCUUUAUGAAUCUAAGUGUUUCAUGAUAAAAAACCAACAUAAACAAAAGGUUUACAUCACUGAGAUAAUAAUGUAUAGAGUUACUAGGUAUGGCUUUGAUAGAGGAUAGAAUGACAAAAAUAAUAAUAAUAAUAAAAUGAUAUAGACAUGUUUUAAGGAGACAUAAAUUGCAGUUAGACGAUGUGAGGCAAAACCAAGAACAUCAAAGUUUUAGAAAAGAAAUUCAUGAUCAAUUUCUAAAUUUCACAAUUUCCAAGCUACCAAAACUAAUAAAAACUUCUAGUUAUGGGAAAAACCAACUGUACCAAGAAAACAUUCAAACUCCACUUUCUUAGAGGGUCAAUUGCCACAGCAGUCGAGUGGCUUAGGCGUCCUCCUGGGAUAAGAGAACACGAAUAGCAGCAAACAACCAAAUGAACCUAAGUAUCCUAAUGCUUUAUUAGACUGUAAGAUUAUGGUAAAAAACGUGUUUUAACACAUUUCCUACACCAAGAUCGACAUCUUUCUCCAAGAUACGUAAAAAUCGAUAUCUAAUUGAACUAUAUAACACUGUCCCUAAACACAUAAAUGUCAACGUAAUUAAGUUAAAAUCCCGUACAAUAUCGUAAGAUCAACACCAUAAUUAGAGGAUCAUUCCAAAAUAAACAAAUUCAAUAUCAAGUAAUAGUCGAAUGUGGACAUAUGUAUAAUCAACAAGAAGAUAGUGUAAAACUCGCACCAAAUAACUUACCCUAGCCAACUCCUCAGACCGAUCGGCACCAGGGCCAGUGAUUUGUGGUGCUUGACUGGAAGAAAAUAGAUAAAUGAUCUUUCAAGGUGAGAACAAGUCGCUGAAGGAGGUAAAAGAGACGGAUCAGGGAAAUUGGGAAGUAAAAGGGAAGAGGAAGAGGAGACAGAACUGCAGGCAGAAAUCGAAGGCUCCGUCGACCAUGUCGUCGACGGCGUUAAGGACUUCGUUGAGGAAGCGCUGCGGGUUGAGGUUGUAGGCAUCGAACACCGCCUCGCUCUCGCUUCCCUCCAUCGGCCUUUCGAUCCCCUUUCUCGCUUCCACCAGGCCGGCCGAGGAGGGAAGAAGCGGCAAUUGUGAACGAUUUGAGCUGCAGCCGUUACGCCUCAAAAAGGGCGUACAAUCCCGAUUUUUCCAACAUGCGUGCCGUUAUGUCGUGUAAAUACCGGACGAUACUGUGGGCUGGACCACGCAAAGCCCAUGUGAUGGAACCCACAUGCGUGUGUGGGUCCCACCAUCAGGUCUUUCGUUUAAAUUUUGAAUCAUCAAUAAUAUGUUUCAUUUAAUGUUUUUAAUAUAUCUAUAUAUUAUGCAAAUGCUUGGACAAUUUUUUUAGAAAAUAUUCAUUGUAAUUUUUUUUUGUAAUUCUAAUUUAAUAUGACUAUUAAUUUUAUUUAUCUUUUUUUUUCAUCCGUCAACCUGUCGAUGUGAUAGAAAAACUAUAUAUAUGUGUGUAUAUAUGUAUGUAUAAUACAUUUCAUUGGAUUUGCAAUGAAACAUAACACAAAUUAAAUAGAUAUGAAACUAUAUGUUAAAAUAAAUCUCAUACGAAUUCAAAUAAUGGACUUAUUAAUAACCAAAACUUAAUUACAAAGGGCUUCUUUCCCUACUUGAAUUCUUUAUGUAAUCUUUUUCUUCUAGUAAUUCUAGUUUUAUUAGAAAUCUAAAAUUAAUAGUCAACCUAAUAAAGAUUUAUUGUUGUGUAAAAAUAUAUUAGUGUAUUCAUGAAAUGUUUCUUCCCUAUAAAAUGAAUUUAAAAUCCAGAUUUUUAAAUAAAAUAAAAUUAGUUUAACAACAUGCAACAUAAAAUUACAAGAAAAUAUGAUGACAGAGAAAAGAAAAACAAAAGGUAACUCAAGUUUUGGUUAUACAUCACAUACAAACCAUUUAUAAGACUAUUCUCUUAGUUUAUCUCAUACCCUUUUCCUUACAUAAAUAUUUAUAAUAAUUUUUGUUUCAUAUGUUCCUCUAUAGUACUAUUAAUUUGGUAAAGAAAGUGACCACAAUAGCAAUCAUGAGAGUGUACAAAAGAUUAUCUACAAGAAGUGGAAAGAAAGAAUGAAUGGUUUAAGAAGCUACAUUGAAUCAAUUCUCAUAUAUGGACAACAUUAUUUAUAUAUUUUCAUGAUGCUCUAAGAUAGAUUGGUACUGUCAUUAUUUCAUGCAGUAGUUGAUCUUUCUCAAGCCAGACUUUGGAGUUCUCACAGCUGAAACUAGUGGAUUGAUUCAUUGAACAUGGUUCCAUAACAUUAGCAGCUUCUUCCCUCCUUAAUGUUCUUAUAACAUGGAGUUCUCCACCAUACCAUGAUUACAAAGUUGAAGAAUCAUCCAGGUAGACACAAAACAAUCAUACGUUGCACAACCCUCAAAGGUUUCCAAAAGCUUCUUUAAGCACAAUCCACACAUGAUAGAGCCAGGUGUUGCCUAAAGUAAGUGAUGCCAAAUAAUAUAUAUAUUGCAUGCUUAGCUAGAAUGGAAUCCCCCAACACACAUCAAAGCCAAUAAACAAAGAUCAUUAAGGAUGGCAACAAUCCCAAAGAAAAACACAAAGCCACUUAGCUUAACUAUGUGUGCACAAGCCAUUGGAAAUGUGGCUUCUAUCAAGGGAACAGCAAGCACCCACAAUAGUAAGCUAUGCCAAGAACACUAACCCUCCUUUUCAAUCUCCUAAUCAAAAUGCUUAGGUCUCGAUUAUUCCCCAAAGAUAUGUGAAUGAGAGGCAAAGAGUCCGUACUUAAACUUUAGUUGAAGAAUCUAUGUUCAUAACUUUAAGGUGAUCUCAGUCGAAUCAAACGUGUCUGUCAAUUCUAAAUUGCCCCAUUGCUUCCGAGCGUAGCAUUGAAGUAUCAGAUUCUAAAGAAUUCGAGUUGAAGUCUUAACUUGGCAAUUAAGGCUCAGUUUAGGCUAGCAAGAAUCGUGGCAACACACUAUAGGCUCUGUGGGAGUGUUGUGCUGGAGGGAAGACACAAGUAUGAAAGAGUAAGAGAGCCCUUAGAAUGUCAUGAAGGACAAGAAUAUAUACCAUUAGUAUUCACUUUGUGUUUGGUUAGAGGACCUAACACUGCAUCUACUGGCUGGCUUUCCAUAAAGGCUAGCUUAGAAAACAACAGAAGUGAGUUGAAAUGUAAGAUGAACUUAGGAACAAGCCAUUUCACCUCUUGACUUUGCCUUAGGUUGACUUUAGCUUGACAUAUUUUCACUCUAAAUUUAUUAAGUUAGACUUAAAACUCUUAAACUUCUUAUGAACAUAUAUUCUUUUACUCACAAUUAAUAAAUCGAAGCUGACUGAUUUGAUCGUCGUAGGGUCAUAGAGUCAUGCAAAACGCACUCGGGGGUAAUCUUUCUUUACAAAACGAUAUAGAUAAUCUUUAUUCCCAAGAGAAAUUCGAAGGAUAUAGACACUUCAGUAAUUAGUGAGUACCCAAAGAGGGUUUAUAUAUAUAUGUAAGCAAUCACAUUCUCCAGUGUGCUACCAACAAGGAGGCAGCUGCUUGUAACUAUAGUAGUGUUAACUCCUUUGGUUCUUCUCCAGCUAUGGAUGGAGAACCCAAUCGGGGAGCUGAUGCAGUAGAGGACAGAUGGAGAAAGGGCCCUUGGACUCCCCAAGAGGACAAGCUUCUCGCUGAGCAUGUCAACCUCCAUGGCGGAGGAAGAUGGAAUUCCGUCUCUAAGUUAACAGGUAACGGACUGCACCAACUGCUGCUCCACUUCCAUCGCCUGUUACUGCUCGGUUUGUGUCGUAGGAUUGAGGAGGAGCGGAAAGAGUUGCAGACUUCGGUGGGUGAACUACCUGAGGCCUGACUUGAAGAGAGGGAAGAUAACUCCCGAGGAAGAGAGCAUCAUCCUCGAGCUGCAUGCCUCGUGGGGAAACAGGUGAUCGAUGAUUAAUCUUACCUCUGUAGGUACCACUAAACUUUGAGCUCGUCGACAUGCAUGCAGAUGGUCCGCCAUAGCUCGAAGCCUCCCGGGGAGGACCGACAACGAUAUCAAGAACUACUGGCGAACCCACUUCAAGAAGAGCACGUCGCCCUCAAAGAACAACGUCGAGAAGAAGCCGAAAGCGCAGUUGCUGACGCAGCAGCAGGAUGAAGAGAUGAGAAUGACCAUGACCAUGAACGAAGUAGAGCGAGUUGCAGUAGCACACGACAUGCAGCAGGAGAUGGCGUACGUGUAUCCCUUUACUGGUAUGCUUCAAGGUGGCAGUCCCGAUGGCUCCAUCAGCGAUGGAUCGAGCGAAGAAGAAGUCUCAUGGGGUGGAUUGUGGCACCUCGAUAUAUGACGUGCAUGCCGGCAAUCAUCAAGUGCAAGAUAUUGAUGUCCUUACGUCCUCCUGAGAUGAAUGUAAAGUGAGUGAACUUGGACAGGCUUAGCAUGUCAUGUUGGUGAAGGAAGAAACCCAUUUAGAUGAGCAUAUAGCGUGUAUCUACAUCUAUUUGUUUCUCUUCUCUCUCUCUCUCUCUUUAUAUAUAUAUAUAUAUAUAUAUAUAUAUAUAUAUAUAUAUAUAUAUAUAUAUAUAUAUAUAUAUAUAUAUAUAUAUAUAUAUAUAUAUAUAUAUAUAUAUGUGUGUGUGUNNNNNNNNNNNNNNNNNNNNUAUAUAUAUAUAUAUAUAUAUAUAUAUAUAUAUAUAUAUAUAUAUAUAUAUAUAUAUAUAUAUAUAUAUAUAUAUAUAUAUAUAUAUAUAUAUAUAUAUAUAUGUGUGUGUGUGUGUGUGUAUUUAUUUACAUAAGGAAAAUUAAUGACAAUAUAACAUGUUAAUAAUGAUAUUAAUUAGUGAUAAGAAGUAUUCCAACCAAUAAUGAUAUUAAUUAGUGAUAAGAAGUAUUCCAACCUUAGGUCAUCGACCGAUAGCCACCUGACGGGAGGACAAUGCGACACCUGUCUCACGUGGGAGAGGGCUGGGUUGACGGUCGACACUCUCUUAGUCAUCCCCUACCAACCUCGUACUGUACGGGGUGGUAUAGAUCAACGCCGUACUAUAGAAGUUCGGAUAGGUUGACUUGCAUCACAGGAGGUUGUACAACUGCCCGCAUGAAUGCAUCGCAAGAGGUACGAACGACCCUUGCAACCGUAGUUCCCUUGUAUUGGCUCCGUAAGUAUAAAAAUCAAUCCCGAACACUUAAAGAGGAGAUCGAUCUCAAAAAACCCCACGAUAUAUAGAAUCAAUUUUCCAUCAACUAACUUAAACAUCGGAGAGGUCAAGUUGGGAAUCCGUCAUAACAUCGACCUAUUAUGCAAGAUCCCGACAGAAAUCGAAUUUACUCCAGCUCCACAUCGGAAUAACUUUAGAGUUGCCCUCGUCGGCUCCUGCUCAAUCUCGAUUACUCCAUCCCUCCCUCGAGAAGACUCACUUAGCCGGUUUCACACCUUUGAAACAAGACUAACCUAUAUCGACACUCGAUCCAUGCAAUGAAGUUGUUAAUAGAAAGAUAUUCCCGAUGGUUGAUUCUUUUGGCAAAUGUGGUAAUAAAGAUAUGGUGGUGUUUAGUGUGGCAAUUAUGGAGAGAAAGGAAUCAAGUAGCUAAAGUGUGCCGUCAAAUCGAUACUGAAGAGCAACAUUAUAGUCUCUCGAACAUCAUUUAAACAUAUAAAAUUAUUAACAAUAAAAAAGAGUUGCACUCGCAAUUAAAGAAACAUAAAUUUGAUUCAAUUGAAUGAGACAUAAUCGACUCGUAAAUUUAAAUAUAAGAAAGUUAGAAAAAAUAAAGAACAUGAAAAAACAUGAUUAUUUAAUUAAGGGAGGACAUCAUCCUUCAUGCUAAAAAUCUAUAAUAACCACGGAUCAUUUCGUACGAAUAAAUAAAUAAUAUAUAUAAUAAAUAAAUUUAUAUCUUAUUAUAUGAUUUUUAAAAAGUUACGACGAGGGUGCAUAGAUGAAGAAAAAAAGUAAAAAUAAUUUUUUUUUGGAUUAUUCUUGGUUCAUUAUGAACCCAUAAUCAUGUGGUAGCACUAAAACACAAAAUUAUUUGAUUGACUCAUUGCUACAUAUGAAAGAUGUAAACAAAUUAAUAUUUUUAUUUAUUAAAAAUAUUCACGUGAAUCAAAUGAAAGAAGGUGAAUUAAAAGAAUAGUAUCACAAUACUAAGAAUAAAAAAUGUUGGGUCAUAUAUAAUGGUUUGAAUCACGAUUUAAUAAGUAAAGGGUUACAAUUUUGGAUUGAAUCGAUCAAUUUCAUACCAAUUCAUUAUUAAUUUUUUGAAACCAUUAUACUUAUACCAUCUUCCUACGUAUAUGCUAAAGUGGAGUCAACAAUCUCAUGAAAUAUUAAUCAACUUCACAUAGGGGAUCAAUAAUCUCAUGAAUCACUAAUCAAAUCCAGAGAUGGGCCUUUGUUUAGUAUGCCUUCGAUGUAAUAUUUCUAUGAUCUUUCGUAAAACCUAUUCAUCUUUUGACAAUAAAUUUGUGACAGACUCAAAACUAAAGUUAUCCAUUUGAGAUGUUUAUAUUUUAUAAAUACGAUAAAUGAUAUACGUAUAUUAUUUAUACUUCUAUUAAUAUUUCUAUUGACAUGUUAUUUAUAAUUCAAUGUGUGUGAGAUUCAGAUACUAUAAUUCAUAAUUCAAUGGGUCGAAGUCAUGAAUUUACCAUGAUUAGAAGAACAAACCAUACAUGUUCAUUUGAACGUAAUCUAAAUUGCUUAUAGCCAACCAAUGAUCAAAAACAAACACCACCCAAAUGUUGGUGAGGAAUCAUAUUCUUGGUGCCAAGCUAUACAUGUUCAAAAGUUGCUUCUACCCAUUCGGAUGAUUUAUUUGAUAACAUUAUCCAAUUGUUGGUAAGGAAUCAUAUUCUUCAUGUAGCCAAAUGUAAAGUAAGGCAGCCAUAGAUGAUGGUAAAUAAUUUAUUUAGAAGGAAUACAAAUACAUAAGAUAUUAAUCUAAUUUUUUAAUUCAACUAUUUGAAAUCGACUAAUGCUCCCAAUGCUAAUCAAAAGAAAUUAUUAUAUUCUCCGCCAUCCUCUCUUAAAUUUAAUUAAAAGAUAAUUUUGAAAGCUUUAAAAAACUCAUUCUCACCUUCUCCCAUAUUGUUAUAAUGCACUCUCAUAAAGCCAUAACAGCUAUUUAUGUGUUGAUCUAUCUUAUCUAUCUCGUCGUAUCGUAAAACAUUAAUUUUAAGUCGAGAGAAAAAUAUUUAUCAUGAAAAAAUAAUCAAAUAAUAUUUACCUUUAUACUAAUAAAUUAGCUUACACCAAAAAAGAUAUUCUUGAUCUAAAGUCCUUCUUCAAUCAUAAUCACUAUGCAAUCAGAAUCUUGUCCUCUGGUUUCUUCUAUUUCCAUCAUGAUCCUCUGGUUUUCUUCAAUUUUGAUCAUGUUCUUCUUUUAGCUUAUCUGAAAACACAUAAUAAUCAUUUCCAUCAAAAUCUUGUUGAUAGAAAGACACUAAAAAGCUCGAGAAAAUUCAUAACUCUCCUGUGAAACUGAGUCGAGCAAUCCAAAUCUUCUUCCAUAGUUGAAAGCAGAGAUAGCUGCAGAGAAAGAAGGAAACAAUCUUGUGAGGAACCAUCAAAUGAAAGGGAUCACCAAAGAGGAAUCCUAUUCUUUUCCCUCGUUCAAUUCUCACCUAAGCACAAGUCUUCUGACGGCAGAAGAGAGACGCGACAAGACAGAUUUUGAUGUCAAUGUUCGAACCCAUACAGCGCGCUGCAGUGAAACGCGGUAAGCAUUCCCUCCCCCGUCCUUCUCUGAAGCGGCCACAGCGAAGAACACGGCAAUAACUCCCACCGGCGGAUCUCGCGUGACUUCAGCACCGACCUGCCCUCAUGUCCUUCAGUUUGCGACGAGGAGAGCCGUUUGUCGUUCUCGGGCUUCACCACCACAUUCUACUGCGGUAAGGAGCACGACAUGUGCUCCGUCCAUGGAAUCCGCUGCCUUCUGCCUGUUCUUGCUCACGUUGGCCAACUUCACCCACCGGAUAUGGUUAAUUGUGCUUCUGCUGCUGCUGCUUUCUGGACCAGGGCUGCAAUGGCACCUGUCCUUCCUGCAGUGAGCAAUCCUCUUGGCGAAGGAGAAUGAUGCUUCUUGUCGGCUUUUCUACUCGUACCACACCGCUCUUCAAAGCUUCGCGGCCAGUCUGAGAGAGGAUGAAGUGGCGGCGUUGAGAGCGUUGCUUGGAGUCGCCUCGGUCCGCUCCGACCGCCGGCUUGAGCUGCUUACUACGUACUCUUACACCUUCUUGGGGUUGAGCUUGGCGACGAGUGGUGCUUGGUCCAGGUCAAGGUUCGGCAGAGAAACCAUCAUCGGAGUACUCGACACUGGUGUAUGGCGACAGGAUGCCGCCAAGCUUCCGUGACGACAGGAUGCCGCCGGUGCCAAGGCGGUGGAAAGCCGUUUACCGGGCGGGGUAGGACUUAAUUCUUCGAGCUGCAACCGGAAGCUGAUCGGUGCUCGGUUGUCCUCUGAAGGCCAUAGCAGCAACCACCUGGAGAAGCCGGCGCCGGUAUCCAUGCUGGAGUACGUGUCUCAGCGUGAUUGGCAUGGGCAUGGCACCCACACAGCGUCGACUGCCGCCGGAUCUGUGAUUCCAGGAGCAAGCGUCCUCGGUAUCAGCACCGGCGUGGCGCAGGGGAUGGUCCCCGUUGGCCACAUUACCGUCUACGAGGUCUGCUGGUUCAACGGGUUCUACAGACCCGACAUCGUCGCGGGGAUGGACGACGCCAUCAGGGACGGGGUCGACGUCCUCUCCAUCUCCCUCGGCGGCUUUCCGAUCCCAUUCUCCGAGGACAGCAUCGCGGUCGGUAGCCUCCGGGCGACAGAGAGGGGCGUCACCGUCGUCUGUGCAGCCGGAAACAACGGGCCCGUGCCGAGCUCCGUGGCCAAUGAGGCUCCCUGGAUCAUCACGGUGGGUGCGAGCACGCUGGACCGGCGGUUCCCGGCGUUCGUCCGUAUGGGCAAUGGCCGUGCCCUCUAUGGCGAGUCCAUGUACACGGGAAACCACUAUUUAAAAAGUGGCGGGAAGGAGCCGGAGCUGGUCUAUGAGUCCGGUGGGGAGACGGUUGCCCAGUUCUGCCUCAAGGGAUCCCUUUCUGAGGCAAGAAUCCGUGGGAAGAUGGUGGUCUGCGACCGAGGAGUCAACGGGAGAGCCAAGAAGGGCGAGGCUGUGAGAUAAGCCGGCGGGCCGGCAUGGUGCUGGCCAACUCCGAGGUAAACCAGCAGGACGACUCCGUCGACGUCCACGUCCACGUCCUGCCGGCCACCUUGAUAGGCUACAAACAAUCCCUGCUUCUGAAGAGCUACCUCAACUCCACCGACCGGCCGGUGGCCAAGCUGAUCUACGGAGGGACGAGGAUCCAGUCAAGGGCGCCGACCGUCGAGCCCAUCGGUGCUCAAGCCGGACAUGAUUGACAUUUGGAGAAAUCAAGGAGAUCAAAAGCUACGCGGUCGUGUUCGAGUCGAGGAAGGGCGUGUCCGACGAAGGAAGUUUUGCAGAAGGGCAACUGGUGUGGGUGCAUAGUGGCCGAAGGAAGUGCAAGAUGAGAAGGCCAAUCUCUGUGAGCUGGGAAGCAUAAGGAUGCGUCUUCCCCAGUUGGCUUCGAUCUUUGAGGAUUGUUUCACAAAGACAACUUGAAAGGUCCGAAUCAAAUUGAAGACUUUACUGUACAACGAAGAAAAAUGUCUGAUAUCAAUCUAAUUUAUUGGAAUAAAUUUCCUCUGUUACGCAGGUUUGGACUCAAAAUAGUCGCUUUACUCUUAACAUACAACAAUUUUUGAUGCAUCACUAUUGGUGUAAAUAACUUCAAGCCGUGGCCUUGGGGCCGUCGCGGCUUAGUUCGGGUCCGGAUGAUAGGGGAUCUCCCUGGGACGUUUCCCGAGAUUGCUGAGGCGGCCGAUUGCGUUGGUCCGAUCGGGACGGGGUCGUCGUUUCCACCGGGAGAGGACUCCUCGCCUGUGUGUUUAGUGGACGACCUCCAACUUCACACCUGCACAAAGGUCGGGUCGGGGAGCUCGACCCGACCCCUCCGACGAUCAAGUUAGUGGGUAGUCGUGGGGGGUUUCUUUAGCUAAGUUGUCUCUCCCUUUUCCUCGAAGCAUGAGGGUUUUUAUAGUGAGAAUUACCGUUGCCUGAUGUGCUGGCUCGCAAGGAGCAGGACCGUACUUCUGGUAGCGUCUGACGUUGCCGUUGGCGUGAUGUGAGGGAUCAAACCUGAAAAGGGCGUUAAUGCGCCUUGGUAGGCGUUUCGGUCCACAUUGACCAGAUGCCUCAUCAGGUCAACAGAGGCGUGAUGCGUCAUCCGGGGUAGCUAGUUGAUGUCACGCGAGUCUUAUUGUAAUUAUUACCCUCAUCAAUCACCAUGUUCAUGAGUCUUAUUGUAAUUAUUACCCUCAUCAAUCACCAUGUUCAUCAGUUAAUCCACAAAGAAGAGUAGCUAAUACUCCAUAUCUAACAAUGUUCCCUGAUACAAAUACUUAUCCUGCUCACAGUUCAUAGUAGGCUAAACUGUGCCAUCCCUAGCUAAGAUGGUGCUCAAGUUCAUGGGAUGCAUGUACUCCUCGGAACCACUCAAAAUCUCCCUCACUAUAAUCCUGCAGGCUCUCUCCGUAGGAUGGAACGCGUCCCAGAAGGCGUACUCGUCUCGAUCUUCACAGAGCUUGGAUACCGCAGUGCAGAGCCCGACGCCAUUGAAAAGUCCUUGCCCACAGCACGCGACCUUCGACGUGAUGAAACCUGCAAAGGUUUGGUGGCAGAGAUGGUCAUUGUUCAUGUUGCUUCAGUUUGCGAGGAAAGUGUCGAGAAAUGCUGGUCAUGGCAUUUACCGUAGACCUGCGGAUUUGUAAUGUAGUUCAUGUGCAUGUUGAAGGCGUUGGCUGCUAUGAAGCUAACAUAGUCGAUUUCGAGGUUGAGUUCCCUCACCACGUCGAACAACAGCAUGUUGAACAUGUCUGCCGCUCUUUGCAGCUCGGGAUCGCACUCGCCGCUCAGACUUCUCCUCAAGGCGAGCUCGGCUGGAACGCAACCGAGUGGCCCGGUCCCGGUGACGAGGAUCAAACGAGCCCCCAACUCGUACAGCCUCUGCAGAAGUUGGGAACAGGGAACUUUACUGAAUGGAGCAAGAAGAAGAGAUCGCAACAUCCAUGGAGAGAAAUCCUACCACGAGAACUUUCCUGUACUCGAAUAUCAGAUAGCGUACGAAGUCGGGCAGAGAAAACUGGCGAGAUCGCAGAGAAAGGGGGAUCAAGUAGUAGUUGUUGACGAAAUCAUUGCCUCCGAGGGUGAUCAUCACCAGCCCGUGGCUCACUAUCUUCCUCGCCUGCGAUCGACCUACCAGAGCACUCAGUUUCUCCUGGUACUCCUCAAAAUAUUGCAGCUGCUUGCUGAUUCUAAUGACGUUUGCCUGCAGGUAAAUGCUCGCAUCGGUACGGAGAAGUCGCGACUAAGCUUAACCUGCAAAGAUCGAUCGCCUUACGAAUUGGAUCCCGGUGUCGUCUAGAAUCCCAACCCCCGCCGACGCGAAGUUAGCGCCAACAAGCAGCUUCUCCCCUCGCAGCUCGGGGCUGAGGUAAGGCAGUGUGGGUUCACCUCCAAGUUGUUCACCUGAGACAUGCAUGCUACGACUGUUAGGCUGUCACGAUGAUGUUUCACUCACAAAUACGUGGGAGUUGCAGACGGGAACACUUCACUCAUAACGUCAGCUAUGUUACGGCCAUUGGAGAAUCUCCCUGUCGGCCGGUGAGACGGGGAAUCGAUGCCGUAAGGAAUGUUGUCAGCUCGAGCAGUGGUCGCCAAGUAGUUGUUGUUGCCACUGUCGACGAGGGAAUCACCGAAGACGAAGAAGGCGCGGGCCUCCGAAGGUGUCGAGGAGCUCCCAAAGACCGCGAGGAAGGUGACAUAAGCGAAGAGAAGCAACGGCUCGCUCAUGGUUGUGAGAAAGCUUGCGGUGUCGGAUGGAACAGUUCCGGUGACUCAGCCAAUCCGUCAAGAGCUUGAAAUAAAACCUGAGCAUAACCCAUUAACCUCAGCAUUGAAGAAGGUGUGGAAGAGGAUGCCAUGGUAAAGUUGGUGGAGUGAGUAAAUAGGUUGGUGAGAGAGGAUUUACUAGAGCACCAACCAAAAGGGUUACAUCUGAAAGGAAUCACUGUGGAAGAUAUUGCCAUUUAUGUGCUGAGGAAGAUGACACCAUUAACUGCAGGGAAGAUGAUGCAGAUGAAAGCUUGCUGAUUUGGUCCACAGUAAGCUAAUUCACCCUUUUGAAUUCAAACUACGGUGCAUAUUCUACUGUCAUUCUGAUGAGAAUUCUUCGGCUGCUUGUCUCAUGGAUUAAUCUUCUUACUAUGAUUUGUAACCUUCACUUACCUUUGCGAACUUAGAUUUAUUGACCUACAAAGUUUACUACAUUUUGCCUGAAGUAAAUUGUGGACUCUACAACAAUGGCUUCUUGUUUCGUGCGAAACUUCAUCAGUCCAUUGAUCGAGCAGAACAAAUCACCUGAAAAGCAAUAAAUAUCUUAUGAGCAAAAACAGGUAAAUGCUAAUAUGAUGUGCAGCAGUAACUAACAAAUUAAAGAUUGUUAAAACAUAUGAGAAAAAUGAAUUAUAUGGUGACAUGACAAAUCUUAUUGACCCAUUAAAUGAAUUAUAUGCGUCACGUUCAGACUGAUCAGUCCAUGGUAUGAUCAGCUACGGCCCGACCAACACUCCAAUUCCGUGUUAUACCAUCUUCCAAAGGCCCGCCGUUUCAGUUCCCACUCAUUCAUCGGACAGGAGUCACGUUACGUCAUUUGGAAGACUGUGAAGUCAGAUGAGUCGUCUUCCAUGAUCUUUCUUCCAUGGACUUCGAGUGCACGUCAUCUGAACUGGAGGAAUCUGUUGCAGUUUGCACCGGCAGCAGCACCUCACCUUGUCUUCAUAAGCUGCUGAGAACUCCCUCUUGCACCACACAGACCACAGAGCUUAGCUACAAUGGAGUCCCCGUCGUUUCUUGCUUUCCUGCACCUGUUGUUCUCCCUUCUCCUAGCUCUCCCACUGGCUCAAGCUUCUCCAAUGUCCCAAGCACAUGCUCUCCUCCACUGGAAAUCCUCUCUCCGAGGCCCAACACCAAGAGCUCUGCAGUCCUGGAACAUUGACACACACAACACCACCACCGCCAGCCCAUGCCACUGGUUUGGGAUCACGUGCACCAAUGGGCUAGUCACCAACGUGAGCGUCCUGCGAGCUGGCCUGGCCGGCACGCUCGACACACUCGACUUCACCGCCCUCCGAUCCCUCACCGUCCUCCGCCUCCGCCGCAACUCGCUCUUCGGCGCCAUCCCCGCCGCCAUCGCCAACCUCUCCAGCCUCGCCGAUCUCGAUCUCUCCCACAAUCGCUUCUCCGGCGAGCUCCCUGCCUCACUGGCAGUCCUCUCCGGCCUCGUGAAGCUCGACCUUUCUGCCAACCAAGUGGGUGGCAAACUCUCAUCGGCGGCCGUCGCCAACUGGACCAGGCUGACACACCUACAGCUUCAAUUCAAUCGACUCACUGGAACCAUUCCCGACGAGAUCCGGUACUUAUCCAACCUUCGUGUUCUUCGUCUCUACAAGAAUCGAUUAAGUGGCUCCAUACCACAUCAAGUUGGUGAGCUUACGAACCUGGUUGUGCUAAAUCUGAACACCAAUAACCUGACAGGCUCUAUUCCUCCAUCUAUAGCCAAUCUAACAAAGAUAAACUCCAUCUCUCUCUACCAUAACACUUUGUCUGGUCCCAUUCCUUCUUGCCUUGGAAACUUGUCACAGCUCAAACUCCUGUACCUCCUCAACAACGGCAUCAAUGGUCCAAUUCCUCAUGAAUUCGGCAAUCUGGUCAACAUGGAGGAUCUCAGGCUGUCAGAGAAUCUCUUAACAGGCACCAUCCCUUCUAGUUUAGGGAACCUAACAAAUGUAGAGACUCUGUACAUCUACAUGAACGAGCUAUCUGGGCCAAUACCACCAGUUCUUGGGAGACUGUCCAUGCUUAAAUCUUUGUCAUUGAACUUUAAUCAACUCUCAGGAACCAUUCCUCAUGCACUAGGAAAUUUGCUGAGCCUGGAAGAUCUGGUAGUCUCCAAGAAUCAGUUAUCUGGUCUGGUUCCCCCAUCUUUUGGCAACCUGACGAGGCUGACAGACCUGGAGAUCUUCCAGAAUCAGCUCUCAGGUCCUUUGCCUCAAGAACUAGCGAACCUCACCAACAUCUCUCAGCUGCAGUUGAGUAGCAACGACUUCUCAGGCCCUUUACCUCCAGAUGUAUGCAAGGGAGGAAAACUCGAGUAUUUCAGCGCGAAUGAAAACCAUUUCGAUGGUCCGAUAUCGAGAAGCUUGAGGAACUGCACCAGUCUGGUAAGGCUUCAACUGAGCAAUAACCAUCUCACAGGUGAUGUCUCCCAAGUCUUCGGAGUGUACCCUAAUCUGGACUUUAUUGAUCUAAGCGACAAUAGAUUCUCCGGCGAACUCUCGACGAACUGGGUCAAGUGUCCAAACUUGGCCACUCUGCACAUGUCAGGCAACAUGAUCACAGGAAGAAUACCUCCCCAGUUUGGCAACAUAACUCAGUUGGCAUCACUUGAUCUAUCUUCUAAUCAGAUAGUUAGAGAGGUGCCAAAGCAACUGGGUGGUUUAACUUUGCUGCUGAAUCUGAAUCUAAGCAAUAACCUAUUGUCAGGGAGAAUACCAUCAGAGAUCGGAAACUUGUCUAGCUUAGCCACUCUUGAUCUCUCUAACAACCACCUUACUGAGACCAUACCCAUGCAAAUAGGGCAGUGCCUUAGACUCCUUGACCUGAGGUUGAGUGCAAAUGAGCUGAAUGGAAGCAUUCCUCUGGAGAUUGGGAGGCUAGUGAACAUCCAAGAGAUGCUUGACCUCAGUCAUAAUUCUCUCACAGGGACCAUCCCAAGUGACAUUGGCAGGCUUGAUAAGCUGGAAAACCUGAACCUCUCUCACAAUGGACUUUCCGGUCCCCUUCCAUCGAGCUACAGUGACAUGCAAAGCUUGUUAACCUUUGAUGUGUCGUACAACAACUUGGAAGGGCCAAUUCCUGAGAAUCGAUUCUUGCGGAAUGCGCAGGUAGAAUGGUUUGAGCACAACAAAGGCUUGUGCGGCAAAGUGCUUCAUUUAUCUCCAUGUCCACAACCUGCAAGCCGCCAUGGUUCAAACAAGCGCCACAAAAUAGUUCUUGCAAGUGUGCUUCCUCCAGUGGUGCUUCUUUUCCUCGUGAUUCUACUCGGAUUGAUCAUUACACUCCGCGUUCGACGGAAAAAUUUGAAGGAAAACAACACGGAAGCCUCCGCUAAGGAUCUACUUUCUGCGUUGGAUUUUGAUGGAAAGGUUCUGUAUGAUGAAAUCGUCGAAGCCACAGAAAACUUUGAUGAGAAGUACUGUAUUGGGGUGGGAGGAUAUGGCAGUGUCUACAAAGCACAGCUCCGUACAGGCCAGGUAGUAGCUGUUAAGAAGCUUCAUUCUUUAGACGAUGAGAGAGGCUUCAGGAGUGAGAUUGAGGCCCUGACCAAGAUACGGCAUCGUAACAUCGUGAGGUUUUAUGGCUUCUGCUCUCAUGCUCGGUGCAUGUUUCUCAUCUAUGACUACAUUGAGAAGGGCAACUUAUCGACCAUUCUGAGCAGUGAAGAAGUAGCCAUCGAACUGGACUGGAGUAAGAGAGUAUGCCUCAUCAAGGAUGUGGCCAAUGCUUUGUCCUACAUGCACCAUGAUUGCAGUCCGCCUGUCGUGCACCGAGACAUAUCGAGCAAGAACAUUCUGCUGGAUUCAGAGCUCAAGGCUCGUGUUGCAGACUUUGGCAUUGCAAGGUCAGUGAAUCCGGAUUCGUCGAAUUGGAGUGAGCAUGCAGGCACACCCGGAUACAUGGCACCAGGUAAAAAAUCCCUAUAAGAACAUCUUAAUUUUCUGCUGAGCAUGUUGUCUAAGAUACGAUGUGGCUACCUGAAUCUUCUCCUCUGAUCAUGCUGCAGAGCUUUCUUACACCAUGAAGAUCACCGAGAAGCAUGAUGUGUAUAGCUUUGGCGUGGUGAUUCUGGAAGUGCUGCAAGGGAGGCAUCCUGGGGAGCUCAUCUCCGCUCGGCCAUCAGAUGGUCAAAAUAUAUUGCUCAUGGAUCUACUGGACCAACGUAUCCCACUCCCAAAACCGGAGGAAUCAAAUGCUGUGAUGUUGGCUGCAAAGCUUGCGCUACAAUGCAUCAGCAUCAGACCGCAGUCUCGACCAAGCAUGCAACAUGUAUCUCAAGCACUUGAUGCUGGCAAGGUUGAAGCUACUCGGCAGCCUUUUCACACAGUUCAAUUGCAUCAGUUGAUGAGGUUCACAUGAAAUAAAGCAUUGGAAGAUUGCAAGCAUGACAGAACUUUGGCAUUUUUAUACUAGCAUAUAUAUGUAGAUUUUCUUCGCUUUGCAUGUAUAUCAUACAUUGUAAGGGUCAGUUGCAUGGAAGAUUUGGGAUUUUUAUUCCUUGAUAUACAUUGUAAGGGUCAUUUUUAUACUACAAUCACAAUGCAUCACUUUGCAUGAUCACAUGGAACUUUGGCAUUUUUAUUCCGUGCAUGUCUCAUCUAUUAUCAUGUUUUACCAUAUGUAAGUAUGAUCCAAAAUAAAUGCAACAAAAUAUUACCUCAGAUAAACCAAGUGCAAAUUAUUUGUAUUUUCUCUGCAGUUGAAAACUAAAACUAUGAUAUUACUAAAACAAAACAUCAUAUAUUUUCUCAGGGGAAAAAAUCAUCAGUAUCACCAGCUAAAAGCUAGAGGGAGAAGGUGACCUUUGAAUGCAUACCCCAUGGUCGUUGCCCCCCGACCAAGUUUAAGCCUGAACUUGAUUUGGAGCUUCAUACUGAUGGUCCAUUCCUCCAUUCUACUUCUGGGGCCAUCAGCAGGAUUAUCCUGGCAAACACAUGGAGGUCAAUAGGCUUGUCAUCGAAGGUAUCACUGCUUGAUUGGAAUUUCCAUGACACUGCAAUGAUUGCAUAGUUAGCCAUCUUUACUUACAUUGAGUUUGGUACAAUUCAAACGAGCCCUGGAUUUAGAUUAAGUUGACUUGAGAUGGCUCUGGUUGAAGACAAGAGAGUCAAAUGCCAAAGACUUGCACCAAAAGAGCUUCUUGACCUCUGUUCUCGGUACCUCAUCUCUGCUGUGCCCAUGGCACUGUUGAGAAGAUAACCUCUCACUUGGAUCUCUCAUGACCAUCUUCUCCGGAGCAGAGUGUCCAAGUAAGCUGUACAGCUCCCGCAUGUGCCAACAAACGAUACAUGAUCAGAGCUGCUUGCUCAGGAGUCAUGGUAAGCUUCCACGAGUAACCAUGAGGAUAAAUGUAAGGUUGCUUAGUCUUGCACAAUCUUCAACUGGCAGAUUUGCCAGAACUGCAAGCAAAAAAAGAAACAAGAAUUGCCUCCAUAAACAAAUGUAAAGAAUUUGUUGUAUAAUGUAAUACUGUUGCUGAGUGUAGGUAUCUAAACUAAUACUGUUUAGCAACAAUAUUAAUACUAAUACAUCAAAUGCCCAUUAUAAGAUGGAGGGCAAUUGUUGCUUACAGCAUUUCGGUGUCAAUACAUUGCAGAUGUACACUUUAUUUGGCAUGUGGAUUGUUAAUACUACAACGCAGACAAGUUAUAAACAUAAUAAUUUGACUGAUUCACUUUAUGGACUUAAACACUGUAUGCCUAUACAAAUACAUCAUUUGGCUAAACUUUCAGGCUAAAUGAUGUUAUGCUUUUGUAAAAGAGCAGAAGAGCCUUUGCUUCACUUUCUUCUUCCGAACCGAACAGUAUCCCUCCCCUUCCUUGCUCUCAAAUCUUUAGAUGCCUAGCUCCAAAACUGGUUAUAAGUGAUAGAGAAUAGCAUGAAAAGCUUUAUAGUAUUACAUCAUCAUCAACAGUAUAAUUAUGCUGAAAUUUGUCAUGGCUACCUUGAACCUUUGAGACUCCACGGUCAACUUUUUCAACCAAGUAUGCUGACCUCUGCUAUUAGCUACAAAAAGCAAUGCUGAUUGGUUGAUCCUGUUACAGUUUUUAUUUUUAAAAACAGAAACCUCAAAAUUUCUUUUCCAUUUACCUUUCACUUUCUUUCUUUCUUUAUUUCUUUUCUUACCAUUUUUUAAUUGUAUCUGUUACUUUCAUCAUCCAUUAAUUUAGAUGUUAAAUUGGAUUUACUGAUUAUUAACCCUUUGGAUUAUUAUUAUUGCAAGAUGUUACAUAUUAACUCUUCUAUAUAAAGGAUGCUUGAUUUACAAAAUGCAAAUUCUUCUUUGAAGACAACGACGGUUCUUCUCCUUAGAAAAUCCUCUUCAAGAUUUCUACAUGUCUUUUUUCAACUCUCUUAUCUUUUCUGCUGCUCAAAUUGAAAGAAGCUAGUCGACUUCUUCACAAUUACAAUUGUGUGUAGAAGAUAAAUAAACGGCCGUAUCCUUGGGGAAUGGAUUCAACCAUAUACUUGCAUGAAGGACGAAAUCAUUCCUCAGGUCAACAAACAUGUGCCUUUGAAUCAUGUCCAAAACUUAUUCUCUUUAGUUUUUGUUAAAGGGAUCAAAUUUAAUUCUCUUUUUCAAGUUUUUACCCCAACAUAUCUAUGAUGAUAUAGGGGAAAGUAUAUGCAUUUCCACAUGUUAUAAAUAACGAGUUGAUCUAGAGAAGCAAUUGUGAACAGGAACAACACGAUCUAGCUGUGCAGAACCCUUGUCAAGGCAUUUUGUUGGGAUCAUUCAGAACUCAUGUAAAAAGGUCCAACAGGCUUUGAUUUCAACCUAAGAAACUGAGAGUAUUUGGUUGCAAAUCAAGUCAUUGUGACAUAGCACAUGGCCACCAAUUUUUCUCAGACCUACACAUCAUAUCAAUCCAAGUAUCAGUAGCUGCUGAAUUCCAACUUCACAUACCAAAUGUACAAAACACAUUAUAUCUUUGAGUCCUCAUUAAAUAUUUCCACUAAUUACAACAUCCUUCAACCAGCAUCAUUAUGUUUUCUCCAUUCUCCACCACCAUUAACUAGACAUAAACUAUUGGCUCACGACAUAUUCAUUCAGAAUUAAACAAUAAGCUCAUUAUAUCUUUAUUUUAUCACAUGCUUCUAUAUCUCUUAUCACAACCUAAAACAUCUUGUAUUGUACUUCUUUGUCAAUGGAAAUUAUUAAGUGGCACUAACUUCUUCAUAAUUAGCAAGCAAAGUACAAAUAACUCGAGGAAACCAGCUAAUCAAUGAACUUGAAUAUGAUUUUAUUUCAUUUUUUAUUUUAUUUCAAAUUAGUUAUCCUUCAUAACAAUAGAAGUGCAUUCUUUUCUUUCGACAUUAGUAUAGACCACCUAGAAAGAAAUUAACCUAGGUGCCAAUGAGAUUAUCAUGAAAAAUUCAAAUAUAUGAUUAACCAAUUUAGACGUAACAAGAAUAUGAAUGGAGAAAACAAGAUGAAAAUCAGAAGCAGAGCAGAGUAGUCAACAAUCUUGUUGAUCAAAUAGCUGGGAGUAAGCUUAUCAUCAGGACAACAAGAGGUGACAAGUAAUUAGUGAAUUCUUUACUUACUGAAACACGUUGCUUCCUGUACUGGAUAUAGAGUGGAGGAAAACAUCCUGGAGUUACUACUGCUGUUCGAGGUACAUGUCUUUCAAAUAUGACUGCAGCUAUGCAUUAAAGGAAACUGAUAUACAAGUCAUAUUCGAUAACGUUUUCCACAAAGAAAAGAAUUUCAUGGCUGUUUGUAGCAAGGAUUUUAAUUUCGAAUAAUACCGCUCGUACCGGUGGAAUGUACCGGUCUACCAGCAGACCAGUACGCGGACUGCCCACUAUUGGGCGGUACUGUCGAUUGGGGUUGUUUCCGUCUCGUUACCAUCUGAAAACGGUCGGUGACGGUCGAUUUUGAUCGUCACCGCCCGUUCCUGGGUGGUAUUAGUCGAAAGAAGAGGGAGAAGAAAAGGAAGAACGUGAAGAUCCGGCACCGCUCUCCCUCGACGAUCCCGAUCCGUCACCGCCCUCCCUCGUCGGAUGCCAAAGAUGAGAUGUCGCAUCCUCCGUGUCUGAGACGACAAGGCUUCGGCGUCGUCGGUGACUUCUCAUCCACACGGGGAGAAGAAGCCUCGGCGAUGUCGCAAGGAGAAGAAACCGAGAGUCGUUGGGAGAAGGAAACCUCGGUUUCUUCUCCUCACACGGGCAAAAACAUAAGGCGACGUCACCUCGUCUCCUUGUUUUGCACGGUUCUUCUCCCCACGUGGGCAGAAANNNNNNNNNNNNNNNNNNNNAUAUCGAACGGUAUGCCAAAAUGUAUCGUUCGGUAUAUUUAUAUCGUACCGUACCAAACUCGAAUCUUCGGUAUGGUACGAAAUUACAAACCUUGGUUUGUAGCAUAAUAUUCACCAAAAUAACAGUAAAAUAGAAAAAAGUUAUGUACAUAUUUUCGAGUAUCCUGCAAACAUGAAUUGGGAUACUCCAAUGUAAGUGCAACUUGUUUUGACAAAAACUAUAGCAGGAAAAUGCAGCACAAUGAUAAAAAGAUGAAAAUUGCAGAAAAUUCAAGAGGGUCAAAAACUGUUCACCUGAAGGCAAUUCUCAAACUGAACAAUGUGAUGGCCUCAGAACUUUCAGCACGUACACAUAAUACAUUAUCUACAGUGUUAGUCUCUCAACAAUUUCAUCCCCAAUCCCGUAAUCAACGCUCAGCUCUCUUAAAGGAGGAAUAUUCUCCACUGCAAAUAUCAUAACAUGAGGAUAUGACACAUUAUGAUCAAAAAGGACAAACUGCACAAACACGUUUGGACAAGAGCUAUGGCUGAGAUAGCAGGCAACAUUCCUCGCUCUUGAAACAUCAAUCGAAAAAUUGAGAUCAGGCAUAGAAGGAGAGUCAGCUAGUAGAUAAUCAGGUGAAAUAUCUGAAAUGUCUCCCCACUCGGUCCACCUUCUUGGAAACUGACCCGGAUUCACCAAACAUUCAUUAUUUCUUGAAAGCACCUCUGCCUGUGCCUUGGUGAUUGCAAUCCCACUAAAUUCACAAAUAAAUGUUCCAGCCCGAAUCAAAUCCAACGACCUAACUCCCCACCCUGUCUCCAUGGAUCUGAACACCUCCAACCGAUGGCUGACUCCCUUCUGGCUUACCCGGUUAGGACAAGUUGGCGGGCAUCGGCACAAGGUGCCACAUUCAUAUAUCAAUGAUUUUCCCCUCAAGAGGAUCCCAUCACGAUUAUAAGCAAAGUCACCCCCAUUCUUCUUCGCACAAUAGCAACCGGCUGAGCAAUUUAAAGUGCAGUCACACCCAUUCCAAUCAUCUGCUUUCACCUUUCCCUGAAAAGCCUCAGGAGGGAGAAUGGGACGAGUGAGAUACUCAAACAUCAAUGGAUCUCGAUCAUCAUCAAUGUCAUUGAAAAUAGAAACAGGCAAAUUCUCCUUCCCCCUUGAAAUGUCGAGGCUGAGAUACCCGACCGGUCUCACGCUCAAUGGAUUCGCCUUCAACUUAUCAGCUAGUUUAAGAAUUUCACUGCCCAUCUCCUCUUGGCCUUCCAUUCUUAGAAACUUGUACUUGUACACCGUAAAACCUGACUUCCCGACAUCCAUCCAGCAAUCAACAAUCUUGUAAAGCCCGUCAUAGACAUAAACCCUUCCGGAGGGGCUCCCGUCGAACUUGAUGCCACGAAUAACCCGAAUUUCAAUACCGUAAUUCAUGCUGCGCUCCAGUGCGAGAUUCCCUCCUUCGAGCUUCUGGUUGACGCAGUGCCGCUGCAUGUUCUGGGAACGGCCACCAUGGCCGGUGUAGAUGAGCACGACGCCCUUGUCAUCGUCGUCCUCAUAACCGCCGGACACGAUGAUGCUGGUGGCAACGGGCUCGCCACUGGCGCUCCGGCUGGCAGGGACGUAAUCGAUGCCAGCCUGGACCUGGCCGUGCAGGCCGACCACGCAUAGCUCCAUCCGGAAGAAGAAGACGUCGCCGACGCUGAUCCCGGGGAUGGAUCCGAUGAUGCGCCGGUCGCGGUUGAGCCAGAGGUCGCGAUCGGUCAUGAGGGCGGCGGCCCUGAGGUCGGGGCGGGUCCGCCGGCCCCAGGCAGCCACGAAGGCUUCCUCGCGGAGGAAGGUCUCGCCUCGAUCCUCGUCGCGGAGGAGGAGGAGGGCACGCAGGGAGUCGUAGGUGAUGCGGGUCCGGCGGACGAGACCGCGGAAAUAGAGCCGGUCGCGAGGGCCGAUGCCAGAGACGCGGACCAUCUCUGCGGACCGGGCCUUGCGCUUCUUGGCGGCGACGAUGGCGGACGAGCAGGCAGGCGCCACCGGGGCGGGUACGAUGGAGCAGUGGCGGCUGCGGUCGUCAUCGGCGGCGAAGAGGUGAGAUCGGCGGAAGUAGUCAAGGAGGAGCGCGGCCUCUUCGGGGCUAGCGUCGGGAGGAGGGAGCGGUUCCGCCGGACCGAGAGGUUCGAGCUGAGACGGGCAGCCAUCGACAGGCUCCGGUUUUGGUUCGAGCUUCGCGAUGGGGAAGAGAUUGAGGUCCUGAAACGGAGUCGGCGAAGGCAGCGGUGGCGGCGGCGGAGGAACCAUCGUGGGAAUGGCGGAAGCUACUGGGGCCCUCGAGGCUUGCGUACGUUCCCGGACAAGCGAGUGAUGAUAAUAUAUGCAGAAAACCUCACUUUAUAUGUUUUUAUCGAGACGCCUUUUUUUUAUUUUUUAUAAAAAUUAAGAUGAAUUUUUUCAAAAAAAAAAUAUUUUUAAAAAAUUCUUAUGAAAACGUUUUUUUUAUCACAUGAAAAGAUCAUUUUGCCUUUAUAUUAUUGAUAAUAAAAAUAUAUUUUAUAUAAAAAAAUUUAAGAUAUUUUUUUAAAAUUAUUUUUAUUUUUUUAUAAAACAAUUCUAACCAUAUGAAAAUAUCAUUUGACCUUUACAUCUACAAUAUGAAAAUUAUUUUUAUGCUAUAAAAUAAUUUUUAUAUCAUAUAUUCUUUUCAUGAUUUUGAAGUAUAAACAAACCUUAUGAUGUUAAACUGGUAAUAAGACUAUACUAUUCUCAUUGCAAGAUCAAACUGAAAACGUGUCAAAUUGGAUUAUAAAAAUAUUAAAAUCAAUAAAAAUAGAAAUAUCAAUUAAUAAUUAGUUAUAUCCUGUAUUUGUUUUUGUAAAUCAUGGAGGUUCAGAAACAAGUCUUUAUUAUUACAUAUCUAAAUAGACUAGUCAAGAUGAACAUAUGUAAAUUGAGUAUAAGAGCCCGUAAAAUUAAUAUUUUUAAAAUAAAUGGAAUAAUUAUUUUAAUAAUAAUUUUAUUUAAUUAUAAAAUUUUGAGAUCAAUUGGACACCACUUGUGGAGUUAUAUUGAAAAAUGAAUGCAAUUAUAGAUGUUUACAUAAUCAAUUGAAAAGCAUGGUAAAUUAGUCUUAAAAUAUCUCAAAAUAUAAUGAAAAAUAGAAAAUUUAAUCCCUAAUAUGAGACAUGUUAACUUAGAUCUAAAAUAUCUCUAAAAUGAUUAAAAAAAAUUCUAUGUUGAGAGUCUAAGAUGAAAUGUAUAUUUCGAUCAUCGUCACACUCAACAGAAAACGAUGGAAUACGAGAGCUUACUAUUUAAAGUCCUUUUUUAUUAAUAUUUUUUUUAAUAAAAAUAAAAAUUAUUUUUAUUAUUUAUAACCUCUCUAAUUUUUUUUUUCUUCCCCUGUAAUCAUUGCUUAUGCAUCCAAUUAUCAUGGAAGCUCCCCCAACAUUUCUUGUCGUUGAUUGUUGCCUCCCAACUAUCAUUAGCCACCCCCAAGAUGUGUCCCCUUAGCAUGCACUCACUCCGAUUAUACUUUUAUUCACUCAAUUCUAUUCUUUAAAGAAGAAGAAAAAUAAAAUAUGCAAAAGAAAUGAGACAAAGAGAAAAGGAGAAAAAAAAAGUAUAUUUAUAUCCAUGAAAGGAUAAUUUUAAAAUAUAAAAAAUAUUAUAAAUAAUAAUCUUUUUGACUAAGUGAUCAUGUGAUACCUAUGAGCAGACCACAUUCACCAAGAUACCAAAGGGGUUCCAUCCAAAAAAGAAUUAUUGGAAUUAUGGAGUAGGAGAAUUUGAUUUAUAAUAAUAAUAAUAAUAAGGAUGAGUACAUAAGAGUCAUAAAUUUAAAUGAUUUAGAGAUGGAAACUCGGUUUUACUUUCAUUCCAAGAGGUAAUCCUAUGUGGAGGGAGAGAGAAAAAAAUAAAAGAGGGUAAGAAGGCUAUCAAGUUUGUUUGGUCAAUAAAAAAAAUCUAAUUUAGAAAGACUUCUACAACUACAAUAAAAAUAAUAAGUGGUAUUUGGAAGACUUCUAAUGGUAGAGAAAAAAAAUCUUAAAAAUUAAGAGUUAGACUAUUGUAACCUAUGUAUGUGAAGUUAUAGUUGUUUUCCAGUCUUAUAAUCCUUCUUUAUAUAUGGUCGGAUAUUGACGUGAUAGCAUCGAUUAGCUUAGUUGAUAAAUAUUUUGAUUAUUACAUUAUAUAUCUUAAAAUUUUAGAAUAUGAUGCGAGUGAAGAUAAUAAACAUUUUAAGUACUAUUAUAAUUUUCUUCGUCAACAAAGGUUAAAAGAGAAUUGAUGAGGAUUGUGAGAUAUACAAAUAUAAGAUGGCUAUUCCCAUAUUUUUUAUUAUUGGUUAUUUUUGUGGUUCUUAUCUUUGAGAACCUUCUUGUCCUAUUAUGUAAAAUAAAGGAAAAUUGUAACAUUCAAUACCACUUAUUUAUUUAUUUAUAUAGAUAAUAAAUUUUCGAAUAAAGUUAUGAGCCUACUAAAGAAUCACUAAUUUAUGAGGUGCAUGCGAAAGCAGGAGCAUCAUACCUAUUAAAGAAUCACUAAUCUAUAUAACUACAUAUAAUUUCCAUGUUAAAUAGAAUAUGUCAGCUGGCUAAGCAUCUUAUUGUCGAUAGCAACGCCUUGGAUCAUGUUGUGUCUUCAUCAUUUAUCCUUUUGAUUCUCGAUUUAUAAUGCUAGUUUAAAUAUUAUGAUAUAAUUAUAUUAAUUAAUUUGUAACAUAAAAUAAAAUGGCAUUUAUAGAAGAUGUCAACGAGCUAAAUAUCUUGUCGUUGAUAAUAAGGUCUUAUGUCAUCAUAUGAUGUCUUCAUCACUUAUCUUUUAAAAAUAUUUUUUAUCAAUAAAAACAUGAUUUUCUAUUUAUAAUGUUAAGUUAAAUAUUUUUUAUUUUAAAAUUUUUCAUUACAUUGAACCUAAGACUUAUCUAUUAACUAAUUAACUAUUUGACACACACUAAAAUAAUAGUGAUUCUUGUAGGAAGGUUAUUGAAGAGUAUUUAAGAAGUCAAUAAAGGUAGAUUUUAUUAAUUGUCCGAAGAUAGUUAAUUUCAUUAAACACAAAAAUUUGGAUAAUAAAUUGAUAAACUUAAAAGAUAUGAAAUAAUUAAUAUUAGUGAUAUUUUUUUUAAAUAAAAAAAAUUAUUUAUUUAUUCAACGAGACUAUCCGAGAAAUAUAUGAAAUUCCUGUCUCAUUUGCAAGAGAGUAACCGAGUUUAAAUACUUAAAUCCAAUCUAAAACAUUACAAGACGAAAGAUAUCAUUGUGUAGCUUGCAAAGAGAUCAUGGGACCAAUUUAUCAAAAUAAAUAGUUGGAGAAAUUUUUUGACAAAAAAAAUUAGACAACCUAAAUAGUCAAGACUUUAAUUCUAAAUGUUUGAAGAAAAUAGAGUGAAAGGAAAAAAAAAGUAAAGGAUAAAUUUGGAUAAACGAAGGGAAGAGGUAUUAAGAAUCGACUUUAUUGUUGUUGUGUGGUGCACCAUGUGAUGAAUGAUUUGGUUGACACUUCAUCAUGUUGAUUACACAUGGUCAACGUAUUGAUCUUCUAAGGUCAUCUCAAUUACAUGUGGACUAAGAAUGGCAAAUAGUCUAAUUCAUCAAGACAAUAUAUUAAUUUAGCUCGAGAAUAAUGUAUGAUCUCCCCCAUACCCAUAACCAUCGAUGAUCCCACAAAUAGUUAUCCUUAAAGCCACCUAUAAAAGGAGGCUCUUAAGUGCAUUCCACACACAUGAAAUUUUUUUAAAGAGAAUUCAUUUAACUCGUCCGAAUAAUCUAAACUCGAUACUAACUUGAUUGUCGAAAAGAUAUUUGUCAAAAACACCUCAACUUAAUUUUAUAGGUAUCAAACGAUCGAAACUGUACUUUGAACUAAGACAUAUAAGAAUAAUCUCAAUUGGAUCCAAAAUUGAUUCUUAGUUCGCACAACCAUAAAUUAUACUAACUAAUUAACUAACUAACUAACUAACUAACUAACUAACUAUAUAUAUAUAUAUAUAUAUAUAUAUAUAUAUAUAUAUAAUGUUUUUUGAUAAAAAAAAGGGGCAAUCAAUUACUAGCUAAUUAAACACUCACCAUAGCCAUUUGUGUUUACUGUUGUAAUCAUUCGGAAACCAUCAUGGCCACCAUGAUUCAGUUCUAUCUCACAAAAGUUUCCAAAACUCAUGAGGCGAGAGAGAAUAACUUAAAAUCUAAAAAAGAUUAAUGCGAUUCAGUAUUCAUCAUUUAUAUUCACAUGGAAGAUCAAUUUUUUAAUAUAAAAUUAAUUAUAAAAAAUUUAAAUUCUUUUUAUUCAAGUAUAAAUCCCUUUAUAUACUCUUUAGAAACUCUAGCGAGUACAUUCUAUGAAUAUCCUAGAGAGAAAUCUAAAAUUAUCCAAAAUAUUUUGAUCACUUUGUUCUUCCCCGAUCUAAAUCUAGAGAUAUAUAUAAUAUUUAAAGAAGUAUUAAAUUUUAAUUUUCAUAAUUUCUUAGUUCUUGAGAUCUUUUUCUCGUGAUAAGAUUUUUUGUUCUCUUAGGAUAUCAGACUUUAAAAAUCUUAAAAAUACUUAUCAAUCAUAACAACUAAAAGCAUUUUACAUGCUAAGAUGCAUAAGAUUAGGCAAAGAGGGACUACUUUGGUGGUAGAAAGAUUUAUCCUCUUGUUGGAGUUCAAGCUAAUAUGGUCUGGAAGAAGAAUAGUUCCCUAUACCUGGAAAUAGUCUAAAAGAAAAGAAUAAAACAGUAUGGUCUUUAUAGUUUUUCUUGUUAUUGAUUUCUGGCAUUGUUCAGCUUUAUCCACUUGAGGAUGUUUCAGUAGAACAGCAUUCCAUGGGAAUAUGCAGGAGAACUUGGACUUGAUCAUAUGAGACCUUUUGUUUGAGAUGACUUAUUAUGAUUGAUUGACACAAAAAAUAUGUAUAAAUGUUGAUCUACCAGAUGAGGAGUCAUUUGAAGCUAAACUGGAUCGAAACCUUAAGAAACUUAAGUACAAGAGUUUGCAUAAACAUGUAUUAUACAGACAUGAGACUCCAUCAAAUCAUUCUUAGCAAAGCACAAGCAGCAGUCACUGAUUACACUUCCUGGAUUUCAUCCAAAGCGUAGUUGUUGGUCGAGACGCCGGCAUAGUUCACCUUGUUGAAUCGAACCACGACGGGAUAGCGAGUCUUGGGAUCCUGAAGAAGGUCAAGAUGUCAAGAACCGAAGGGAGACAACCUAAACUGAUCUAUUGAAGAGUAGCCACAGGCAGAGAGAGUGAGUACCUGGUCCACAGUCACAACCGAUCCAAUGCCUUUGUACCAGUAGGAUUCCUUUCGCAGAAUCUUCACCUGGGAAGAACAGUGCCGUCUAAAAUCACACUAUCUUACACUGGAGAAGCUUACGAUUCAGAUAAAACAAUUGCUCGUGCAGAGAGUAGCUUCAUUAUUCAUGGCAGAACACUAAGCAAGUUAAUAUGUUUACUGUAUGUGUUUGAUACAUCUGAAAGUAAUCUACCGGUACAUAUAUUUCCAUACCUUCGCGCCUCUCUUUGGACCGAUUGGUGGCGGCGGCGGAGGCUUGGCAACUACCUUCUCUCCCGCUUCUGCCGGGGGGGGCGGUGGCGGAGCCGCCGCCGCC